AAAGAUACCGAUGAUGAUGGCAAUAGAAUUAACAGACUUUGACAAUGAAUUACUUUUAGAAUUUCAAGAUACUGAAAAAUGGGGCCAAGUUUGGAGUCUUGUUUGCACAGCUGCUCCAGAUGAUAGUGCCAGUACAGCUGUAAUUCUUUUAUCAUUGCCAACUUCCCCGCAUGUUUCUCUAAGCAUCCUUCCAUCGAAAAUAGCUCUUCGUGGGAUGGAAAAAAAAGCAGUGAGAGCAUUUCGAGAUUGUGAAAUCUCUCAAGUACGUUCCAGAUUGGAAAACAAGCUGAGUCAUCUGCAGCAAUCUCUAGUUGUCUAAGACUGCCAAAAAGGUGUUGUGGGAAAUCGGCCUGCAAAAUCAUCUUCACAUCUUUUCCACUUAGUGAUAGUUCCUUCAAGUUGGGUACGAUCUGAUCAUCAUUAAUCAUAAUAACUAAUGAGGUCAAUUGAUGAUCUACGGUAACACGCAGUGACUUUAUAGUAUUUGUUUUAUAUUAUAUGUUAAAAAAAAUUGAAUUAUUGAUAAAAUUUAUUUUAUAUGUUAAUUUUAGAGGUAAAAAAGAAAUUAGGGAAAAAAGGUUGAUUUAUACUGGCUNNNNNNNNNNNNNNNNNNNNNNNNNNNNNNNNNNNNNNNNNNNNNNNNNNNNNNNNNNNNNNNNNNNNNNNNNNNNNNNNNNNNNNNNNNNNNNNNNNNNNNNNNNNNNNNNNNNNNNNNNNNNNNNNNNNNNNNNNNNNNNNNNNNNNNNNNNNNNNNNNNNNNNNNNNNNNNNNNNNNNNNNNNNNNNNNNNNNNNNNNNNNNNNNNNNNNNNNNNNNNNNNNNNNNNNNNNNNNNNNNNNNNNNNNNNNNNNNNNNNNNNNNNNNNNNNNNNNNNNNNNNNNNNNNNNNNNNNNNNNNNNNNNNNNNNNNNNNNNNNNNNNNNNNNNNNNNNNNNNNNNNNNNNNNNNNNNNNNNNNNNNNNNNNNNNNNNNNNNNNNNNNNNNNNNNNNNNNNNNNNNNNNNNNNNNNNNNNNNNNNNNNNNNNNNNNNNNNNNNNNNNNNNNNNNNNNNNNNNNNNNNNNNNNNNNNNNNNNNNNNNNNNNNNNNNNNNNNNNNNNNNNNNNNNNNNNNNNNNNNNNNNNNNNNNNNNNNNNNNNNNNNNNNNNNNNNNNNNNNNNNNNNNNNNNNNNNNNNNNNNNNNNNNNNNNNNNNNNNNNNNNNNNNNNNNNNNNNNNNNNNNNNNNNNNNNNNNNNNNNNNNNNNNNNNNNNNNNNNNNNNNNNNNNNNNNNNNNNNNNNNNNNNNNNNNNNNNNNNNNNNNNNNNNNNNNNNNNNNNNNNNNNNNNNNNNNNNNNNNNNNNNNNNNNNNNNNNNNNNNNNNNNNNNNNNNNNNNNNNNNNNNNNNNNNNNNNNNNNNNNNNNNNNNNNNNNNNNNNNNNNNNNNNNNNNNNNNNNNNNNNNNNNNNNNNNNNNNNNNNNNNNNNNNNNNNNNNNNNNNNNNNNNNNNNNNNNNNNNNNNNNNNNNNNNNNNNNNNNNNNNNNNNNNNNNNNNNNNNNNNNNNNNNNNNNNNNNNNNNNNNNNNNNNNNNNNNNNNNNNNNNNNNNNNNNNNNNNNNNNNNNNNNNNNNNNNNNNNNNNNNNNNNNNNNNNNNNNNNNNNNNNNNNNNNNNNNNNNNNNNNNNNNNNNNNNNNNNNNNNNNNNNNNNNNNNNNNNNNNNNNNNNNNNNNNNNNNNNNNNNNNNNNNNNNNNNNNNNNNNNNNNNNNNNNNNNNNNNNNNNNNNNNNNNNNNNNNAUAUAUAUAUAAAGAAAAUGUUAGCCUACGCACCUUCUCGUUGAAAAGCAGAGUUGAAAUGUCCAAAGUGAUUUCGCUGGAGCAAUACAUAGUCGUCGAUUCCUCUUGUGACACUUGUCUGUUCGGUGAUGCAGAAGGAGUCUCCACCUCACGGCGGCAAAAACUUGUAACCUCUGGAAGAUUUCCCACACUCAAAGAUCUUAAUUGAGCAAACUCUAUCUUCUCAAUUGCAUUAUCAACUUCUUCCCCAAUUGCAAAAAUCUCUUUCAUCUUGCUGCAAUUAAUAACUGCAAUUCUCUCAAGUCUUGGAAGGCAUUUUGUAGUAGAGAGCCAAAAGAUAUUACUCAACUUAUCACAAUUAUAUACUUCUAUGUUUUUGAGUUCGUUGAAAGACUCUACUUUGAGCCGAUCAACACAUAUCCUCUCCAUGUUGAUCAAAUUGUGAAGGAUAAGUGACUCCAAAAGAGGAAAGGCAUCACAAGCGACCAUCUCCCUUGAAUCGACGAUGCAAAAGAAGUCUGGAUUAUUUUGAACCCAGAGAAUCUUCAAUUGUGAAAAGCCCUCCGUGUCCAAAUUGAAAAGAACAUUCUCGAUGCCUUGCAGCUUGUCCAACCAUAAGCAUUCAACGUUAUUGAUGCCCUGCAAUUUCAUGGAGCAAAUGUCCAUAAAAUCAAGCUUGAGCUUCAAUGCUCUUGAAAUCUUACGAUCUCUGUCGAUCAAAAAGUGCUGCCGACUUUUAAACCAAUUUUGUCCAGCAAUCAUGGGAUGUGUGAAUAACCCAUUUCCAAUAUGUAUUUGGAACCUUUCGAGCUUUCUGGCCAAAAAGCCUUCUGGUAAAAUACUAUCAUUUUUAACAUCAAUUUCUAGAGUGGUUAGCCGAGGUAAAUGCAUCAAUUCAUCAAGGCUAGCAUUACUUCUUUUGCUGUUGGCUCUUUCAACCUCCCAUUCAAUGGAGCAAUUACCCAUAUACAAUUCUUCUAAUCGGAUUAAGCUUGAUAUGACAUUUGGGGCAAUAACUUUCAGACGGAAACAGUCUGUUAAAUCUAACAGCCUUAGCUUAGUCAGUUGACCCAGUGCUUUAGGCAACUCUACAAUAUCAGAUUCCAAAAAGCUGAGGAUUUCUAGAUUUUCCAACUUUCCAAUAAUGGCUAUGUCUAUGCCUCCCAAAAUGCUUUGAUUAAGACAGAGUGCCUGAAGAUUUACUAGAAGACCAAUUGAAGAUGGCAAUGACAAUAACCGCAUUCUUGUCAAAUCCAAAACCCGAAGCUUUUUCGUCCUUUUGAAGAAGUUCUCAGGAAUAUUAGGCACAGCAAAAGAGUUCUUGGGAGACAUGAGUAGAAGUUCAAGUUGUAGAGAUUCGGACCCAUCAGGAAUGUCAUUAAUAAUACUAUCUUUUAAAGAAAUUGCAAGAUAUUUUUUUAAUUCAUCUGCAUUUGGCCAUUUCCAAUCAUCCUCAUUUCUCACCACAAAUCCAAUUUUGUCACGACAUGCAAUUGAAAUGGCAACAUCGCGAACAACAUCAUGCAUGGAAAAUAAUUUACUGCUACCAUCCUUAAGCAACAAACAAGAGUCUCUUAGUUGAUUGACCCAUGCAUCUAAUUUGUUAUGUGCAUCUUCUAGCUUAUGGACACUUUUAAAUACACCCAAGCCCAUGCUAUAUUUGAACAAGUCCAUAAUUGGUGCUGGCGUAAUAAGACUACACAGUAAAAAAGUUUUCUUGAGUUGCUCACCUCUUAAGUACUUGUAACUCAGCUCAAUUGUUGAGUAUGCCUCUGCUGGUACUCCUUCGUCGAAGCUUGCCUCUGAAGGCGUUUGGAGUUCUUGCAAGGCAUUCUUCCACACAGGCAGCUCUUUUUUUCUCAGUGCCUUUGCUACUGUGGUUAGGGCAAUAGGCAAACCUCCGCAUGCCUUGGCUACACUUGUUGCUGUAGAUUCUAAUUCACGAUUUUCCACAUAAUCACCUGCCAUUAUCUUGAACAAUCUCCAGGCUUCUUGUUUAUUUAAAAUGCCAAUCAAGAAGUUUUUUUCAGAUCCCAUCCUUAACAGCACAUCAAGAUCUCUUGUUGUGAAUAAUAAUUUACAUCCUCUGUGCUCAACUCCAAAAGGAAUGCCAAUAGUCCCCAAAUCAAGAGGUUUCCAGAUGUUAUCGAGAAUCACAAGGAUCUUCUUCUCAUUCUUCAAUCUUUCAUAUAGUCUACUAGCUCUUCUAGACUCAGCUUCCUCGGACAACUCUAGGCCUAACGUUUCCGCAAUUUCCUCUUGGAUCUUUCUUAUGUCUGGACAUUGGGUAACCUCCGAAAAAACCACCAUAUCGUAAAGCUUGUCUUCAAUGGCUCGCCUUGCAAACUCCUUCACCAGUGUCGUCUUUCCAAUGCCGCCCAUGCCGUAGACCCCAAUGAUGCUGACAUCAACAUCGAUCAAUGCAUUUUGUAUGGCCUUCAAAGUAGAAAGUCUUGAAUCGAAGGCUUCGUAGCCUUUGUGAGACUUGAGCCAUAUAUCCUCCGGAAUGGUACGGUAGGAAAUUCCAUCAACAAAUCUCCCAGCUUCUUCUCGGAGUUUAACAAUGGCCUUCACCUUUGUUUCUGCUUUCUUGCUAAGCUGAUAGCGGGUCUUCAAAUUAGGACACAAGCCCAUGAGACAUCGUUUAUUUGUUGUCUUCUCAUCAUCAAUGAAUUUGGCUGCCUGCUCAAUGAUGAUGUUCGCACUAACCAGCCACUUCUCAACCUUCUCUUCAAUAUUUUCCCCUUUUCUUUCAGCCUCAGAAACCUGGAAGCGGAGAAAUGAAAGAAAGAGUAAAAGCUGUUAUGGAUCUGGUGAGAAGAUGGAAACAAGGAAAAAAUUUCUAGUUCGAGAACUGAUUGAAUUAAUAUAAGGAAUGAUUUAGAUAAUAGAGGCGAAGGGAACCAAUCAGAAUAACUGAAGUAUUGACCAGCAGAAAGACGGAAAAAAUAUUGACUGGUAAUAGAGAUGGAAAAAAUGAAGAUAUCUUGACACGGUAGAAGUACAAAGGGUAGAUAUGGAACCAAACAGAGACAACAGCAGACCACAACAAGAUUGGGAAUGGACAGAAACUAAUUAACAAAGACUGGAGAUUACAACAAAACAGAUGCCAAGAGAAAACUUGAUCCAGUGAAAUUCAAGAGAGCUGACAACAAAAACUGAUACUACUUGAUUGGGAAUUGAAGGCAAAGAGUAGGAGCUGAUGAAUACGGGGAUCAAGAGGGAAAAACUGCUUGCUCGUAAAACUACUUUCAAGCGAAUCUGAUAAAAUUAUUUCAGUACUCGUGGGCGACUCCUUUUUAAACUGCAGAAGGAGAAAAAAGAAAUGUUCUGAAUUUCAAUGUAUUAAUUUUUAUCCUAAUUUAUGUUGAGACUCGUAAUCUCGUCUCAAUGAUUAAUUAGUAGAUAAUCUUUCUAACAAGUAUGUGAUGAAUAGAUAUAUUUCUUGACUAUUAGUAGGUUAGAUAUAUUUUAGCAUAGGAAUGAAAGUACAAGUUGUGUCAUAUUAGAAUACAAAUUUGACCUAAAAAUAUUGUUCUAUGACCUUUUAAUUAUUUGUCAGCUAAUAAUUAAGUCAUAUAAAAAAAAUAAUAAUCUGAAUUAGUCUUUAAGUAUUAUAAAUAUUUCUUGAUUUUUAAUUAUAAUAUCAUUAUUUAAAAAUAAUUGCUUGACUUACAUAGUAAGUCAAUAAAAUAUCUAACAAUAGUGGUCAUAAAACAUGUGAUCCUCAAUCAAUGAAAUAUCUAACAAUAUCAUCACCUAAAGUUUGAGAUAUGUUAUCCUUAUUCCACUGCGUCAAUUACACUCCAGUCAAAUGCUGCCAUCAUUAUUGAACAGUCGACAUCCACCAGUUCUAAUUGCCAAAACUUAGAACUAAACAGUAGCUCGGUCAGAAAAUCAAACGCCAGUACCGGUCAAAUGACCGAUAAAAAUAUAAAGAAAUAAAAAUUUUAAAGUUUUACUUCAUUGCUUUUUUAAUCUUAUUACUAUUUCGGGUAAUUUUUACUUUCCUCCCCUCAGCUUUGGACUUUUUGCACUUAGAUGGUCAAGAUACAUUUAUCAGUAAAGACCUCCCUACCGUCAGUUAAUUUUGUAGUUGACUGUUAGUUGAAUUCAAAAAGACUGAAAUACCCCCAAUUGGAUUUUCAAGACUGAACAUGCUAUACAUUUGGCGCGAAAACUAUAACAACCAUAAUAUUACCAUUAUACCCCUUCAAAUUGGGUUAUUUACAAUUGCAUUCAACAAAUAAAAUGAUAAUUCUAUUUGGGUAAUUUUCACUGUUGCAAUUUGACCGUUGGAUCCGAAUGGUCACAUUGCCACAGAUUUGCCUAUUUAAAGGCUUAAAUACAGAGCUUUGUUCACAAGCAUCUCUACCUCUUCUUAACACUUUGCAAACUCAACUACAUUUCUCUCAAUCUUUCAAUCUCAACAACAUGGAUUCAGAGGGCUCAAGUGCAGUAACUAACAAGAAGAAUAGAUAUAAUAAAGGCAGUAUGAAAUGGAGGAGUCAAGUUAAUGGAAAUCUGAUCAAGUUUAGGAACUUGAAAUGCGAUUGCAGAGUACGUGCUGCUGUUCGAAUUUCAGAGACUGAAGAUAAUCCAAACAAGCUAUUCUACAACUGUCCUUAUGAUGCCUGUGACUUUUUCCAGUGGUGUUGUCCAGAACCAAGUGAUUUCGACAAUGGUGCAUUCUUUGAAGGUCAUAGAAGUUUUACAGUAGCACAACAACAAGUGCAGGUAGAACUUGAAGAAAUACUAAGUGCCCUGAAUGAAGUGAAGAUUAUACUGAAAAAAACUUAUCAAACUCAAAAUGUUUGUGACCAAGACUUAAGUGAUGUGCAUAAACUCACUUCAAAGAAAACCGAACAAGGUGGGGUGAUAUGUGGGCUGCUGAAGGCUGUGCUCUGUUUGAAUGCCUUUUUUUUUUACUGAGUGUUCUUGUGGUUAUUUUCCUGAAGUGAUUAACCUAAAUUACUAGCAUGAAUUUUGUAAUAAGUUGUACUCUAACUACUGGAAUGAGUAAUGAUAAGAUGAAAAUUUAAUGAACUUGUAAUGCUCUAUUUUUAGAAUGCUUAUCUUUGCUAACUAAGUGUAUAUAAUGUGAAGUAUCCUGUUUGAUUUGAGCAUAUGGCCUAGUCUUCAAUACUGCAUUUCCUAUGUAAUAACUUAACAUAAGCAUUCUGUACAUAUAGCUAAAAAUUAAAGGGAUUACAAUACUUUAGUUAUAAUAAUAUCUAUUAACAGUAGCAAAAUUAACUUGUGAGUUAAACUUUAACAGCAACAAGCAAACCAAUCCAGAACGAGUGAGAAGAGAAUCUAUUAAUUGCAUUCCAGCAUUAAAAUUCUUAAGCAGUAUCAUACAUAGUUACAUUCAAGCAGCUGUCACAAAGCAUGAAGCAGUUGAAUAUAAAUAGCUUCUGGUAAACUCAUGUAUAAUUUCCAGGUAUUAACCAAGCAAGCUUAUCAUAUUACUUGUCUUUGGCAUCACAAUAAUAUCAUGUACAAAAAACAAACUAACAAAAGGCUCAAACCUAUAGUCAGUCUGAGUAAAAGAUGAUACACCAGCUCCAUUCUUCUGCCCAUGACAAGAUGUUGUAUCAUCUGAUCCCUUCAAAAAAUUAGUUAGUGGGAAUAGUCUUGAUCUGCUUCUCAUGCUGGAUGCUAUCACUUUAAUGGUUUCAUUCUUGAGUAACAUGUCCUGGCAUGAAUAAAACAAACACUUACAUAUGAAAAUUAAAAAAAAUAGAUGUUGAUUACUAAAAUUAUUUAAAGAAUCGUGAAUAAAACUCACCAUUGUCAUGGACAGUAGGCUGAGAUAGUGCACUGCAAGCAACCCUUUGAGUUAUAGGCUGAUUAGAAUUAGAAGUGCCUUCACCAUUCACAACCUAUGCCACACCCAUUACAUCAUAAGCAAUUAAAUUAAUUAAAUUUAACUACUAAAUGAAAGAGAGAUGAUAAUUAACCUGUUUGCUAGAUACUUUAGUUCUUUUGCAGGUUCUCUUGUUAUGACCCCAAUGCUCACACUUAGAACAUUUGACACUUGAACUCCUCUUGAAUGUAGCUGGUUCAUCAGCUUCUUUCCUCCUCUUGAUCUGUGGCCGGCCAACAGACUUGAUAAUUAUAGGUGGCUGCAAAUUAUCAUGUAGAACCAGUGGCCACAUCUUCUCAUCAGGUAAAGGAAAGUAUUGAUACUUGUAGGUGUUGAUAAAAGCUGGACAUUUCAGAUAAUUAUGGAUAUAAUCUUCAAUGUUGAGCCUUUUUGCAUCAAUGGAACAAACACUAUGCUUACAAGGUAAGCCGGAUAUCUGCCAUUCCCUACAAUUACAAGUUUUUUUACCUAAAUCUACUACGAAUACUUUACAGAGAUCUUCCAUCACUUCGAAGGUGUUUUCAUGACCAAAUAUUACUGUUAAACCUCUCGCUGCAGCUCUUGCUUCCACAAUCUUUCUCCUAACAAGAGGUGGUAGAUGUCCAUUCCAUUUCUUUGCAUCCUCAUUCCUUUUAUGAAUAAGUUUCAUGAUCUUUCUCCUUAUCUCUUCGAGCAUCCUAACAAUAGGCAUGCCUCUAAAACUGUUAAUCCAGUUAUUGAACGAUUCAGUCAUGUUAUUGGUCACAUGAUUGCACUUGGUGUGGUUAGGAAAAGUGUGUUUAGCCCAAUAUACAGUUGGAAUGUUCAUGAGCCACCGGUGAGCUGCAUCGCUGAUUUUCUUCAAUUCCUCAAUGCUUUCACUGAAUUCUGAGUAGUUUGGACUUCUACAUGCCUUCCAAAAGACCUUUUUCAACAAAGUGCCAGGAAACUUUUGCUUGAAAUUGGCAUAAAUAUGCCUACAGCAGUAUCUUUUGAUUGCAUUAGGAAACACUCUAUCAAUUGCAUUGAUCACUCCUUUUUGUCGAUCACUCAUGAAACAUAGGCCUUCUCCACCAUUACAACCAAUCUGGUCAUAUAGCUUUUCCAUGAAAAACUCCCAAGAGUAAGUGUUUUCACUCUCUACUACACAUAAGGCUAGUGGAUAUAUACCAUAAUUAGCAUCAAUCCCAACUACAGUCAAUAAAACUCCUUUAUAUGGCCCUUUUAGAUGGCAGCCAUCAACCCCUACAAACUGUCUACAGCCUUCAAAAAAACCUCUCCUACUUGCAUCAAGCAUCAUGAAAAAUCUUUUAAAUACUGGGUGAGCUGUAUCUCCAUUCAAUUCCCUCUCAAUAGCUACUGUGGAUCCAGGGUUAUACUUUAUCAAAGCUUGUUGGUAUCUACUCAGUUUGCUGUAACUUUUCUUGUGAUCUUGGCCAAGUAAUUCAAGUGCUUUUUGUUUUGCUCUGUAUAACCUAUGCACACUGCACUCAAUGCCAUACUUUUUCAAAAGCUCAGCUGCUAUUAACUUGACACUGACUUCGGGAGUUGACUUGAAGAUAUGAAGAUAAGUGGCUGCAAUCCAGGUUGAAGUAGCUUCUCCGUUAUCAUCAUCAAUCCCACCACAUGUAUGAACAUCACAUAGGGUCUUAAUUUGAAAUCAUAACUGGCUAGCUAGUUCUUGCCUGCCUUGCUGCCAUUACCCAGGCCAUUACAUUGCAUAGCAUAAGGAAUAGUGAUUAGGUGCUUAUUAGUGAUUCGUUGAGCUUAUUAUUGACCAAACAAACAUAUUCGCCUUUACCCACAACUUAGUUUGAUUAGUUAUUAGACCAUAAAGAGCGUUAAUCUGUUCAUUGGCUUUGUUAUUUUUAUUUGGUUUUUCUUCCGACAAUACGGUUGAUUUCUUAUAAAAAUAUUCAUUGGUUUUUAAACACCUAAUCAUUGGCUAUAAUGAAGCUAAUUGAAACUGAGGCUUAUCAAUUUCUUCCUGCAAGAUACAAUUGAGCAUAAACUAUAUCCUCAGUAAAUUUUUCUAAUAUCCUUGAUUUGUUAGGAUAUGGGCCUGAAAUCCUCUAGAUUUUUUUAACACUGUCAAUGUUCUUUUUACUCUGAAAAGGGAAAAAAAAGGUUAUAUCUUUCAUACCCUAAUAGUAAGUUGGCCUUGACUUAACAUGCCUUCCCGAGAUUUGCAAGAUUCACAAGCAGCUCACACCCCCCCCCAACCAAAAAAAAAAAAAGAAAAAUAAAUAGGAAGAUUUUUGCGAGAUUCACUGCUGUACGGCCAAGGCGGAUGUACGGUACAGCAGUCAUAUCUCACACAAGCAGCAAUUUCCUCAUCAGACGAAUCAAAUUCAUCACCAGUCUCAUCACCUGACUGAUAAUCAUCAAGAACAUAGUCACUUUCUUCACCAUCUGAUCUUGCAUUCUCUUCAUCACUUUCUUCACCAUCUGAUUUAGAAGUAUAAAUUGUGUCAGUUGAACCUUUGCCAUUUUUCCCAGAAUUCUCAGAGCUAAAGUGUACUGUCAUAUCAUCUUCGAGUAAAUAACCACUCCGAAUACUGAAUUGCGUCAUAUUAUUCUCAUUGUUAAUUUCUUCAACAUCAUCUAGUUCAUUCCAAUUAAUUUCAGGAUCGACAUUGAGGUUGACAGAAAACUGAUUUUCAGGAGUUAUCUCAGUCACCUUGCCAUCAACUACUGCUUCAACAUCAUAAUGCACAACACUGUAAUGCAAUAAAACAACAUAAAUAAAUGCUAUUAAUGUUAAAGAAAAAGUUAAAAUUUAGUAAAUAGAAAAUGCAAAGUGUAGUUGACUAGUAGUAGCACACAAAUGCAGCAUAUCAUCUAUUUCAAGCUUAUUAAAACCCACUUUAAAAAUUACAUCAUGAAUAUUACCAUAUGCUUGCAAAUGCAUAAUCAACCGUAACAUAAGCUAAAACCAUAUGCUUGCAAAAUACCCAAAAUGGUGUUGGAAAAUUUAUUCUCGAUUUUAUGUUUCACAGUUCCAUAAACAUUAUCAAAGAUGUGUCAAUGAACAAAUAAUGAAGCAUAAACUUGACAUUUACAAACAACUCACCAUAAUAUCAAUACGCUCUAAAUGGAGCAAAAAAAAAAAAAGCUUGAUUCAAAACUAACCUAUAAUUAAUUUCAACAUACCGAUUCAAAUCUUUCGAGCAUCGGUGAAAUUCAGAGCGGGACAUGAUGCAGAUUUAGUGUUUCUUCUUCACUUCACCCAAAUAAUAGAUACUGCUUUGCUAGAAAUUAAAAAAAAAAUUUCCUUCUCAACAGAGCUUUCGUCGUCUGAGCUUCAUGAAACUCAGCUUCAUGAAAGAGAAACGUGCAGUUUCAGAGAAAAGAGAAAAAGUUUUAAGCUUUGAUUCUUUUACAGUUUUUUAUUUAUAUCAAUUAUCACAAGGCACGAUUUUUUUCACAAUGAUUUGACAAUUCACUGGGCUCAUGUCAACUAAAAUGUGUAAAAGUUAGCUUGUCAAAUUAAAUUACUAAAUUGCCCAUAACUAACCAUAUGAGAUUUACCGUUUGCAUUCCGUAAGGGGGUUUUUACUAAUAAAUGAAUCUUGGCCAUCUAAGUGCAAAAGACCCAAAGCUCAAGGGAGGAAAGUAAAAAUUACCCUUACUAUUUCUCGUUGCACUUAUAAAGAAACCAAAGCUUUAAGAGAAAUCGGCCAAAUCAUGAAGAUUGAAGAGUAAAUCUAUGGUUUUAUAUUUAUAUUUUUAUUUUUAGAUAAUAGAUAUUAUUUUGAUGAAUUUUUAAUAUUAGAAUAAUGUUAGGAAUUUCGAUAGUAGAAUUCUAACUUGAGACCCAAUUGUUAUGUGUCAUUUUUUUAUUAGAUAAUAAAUUUCAUAAUUAGUAAAAUUAAUAUUUCAAUCAUCUAAUAAAUGACUAUCAUAUCAGUUGAGACUUAAUUAUUGGGAUCCUUAACAUUGCUCUUAGUAUUAAAUUGGACAUCUUAGCUAAAUCAGAUUAAAAAUCAAAUUAGAUUUUUGGCUUUUAUCCAACAUUUGUUUUUUGGUCUCUUUGUAGUGAACGAAAUAAAAAUACAACAGGUUCAACGACUGGGCAAUUGAUAGUCAAGUAGAAGCAAAUCAAGGCUAAAUGGGAAAGAAAAAUGAUAUGUGUACAAAACAAGGAGAAAAUCCGUGUAACUGAAGAGAAUCAAAGUGCUUUUGAGAUUAGAAAUUGAAGCAAGAAAAGGGUCGCUUGAUCCAUUGAAAAUGCUAAGAGCCAAUGGCAAAAGAGAACAAUGUUAAAUAAGAAAACAGCUAGCGCUAGCAGCGACCACAAUAGACAGAAAAGUUGAGAUGGAUUUACAAUAUUUCUGCCUUUCUUCAUGCUUUAACAAAUAUUGCUCUAUAAAAAAAAAUAUUGAGCGUUUUUAUUAUUGGAGUCACAAAAGACCUACACAAUAUAGCAAGUGCUAGGAAUAAAUAAGAAUAUAUAACUCUCUCUCUAAUUCUCACUCUAGCUUUUAAUUGUCAUUCAAAACCCAAAAUUCAUCCUUAAAGUGUAAGCAAAUCAGAGAUGACAACGUCUGGUUGUCAUACGUGCCUUUUAGUUUUCGGAUGACAUGGCGUACACUUCUUCUGUAAACCGAACAUGACAUGUCGUACUCUUUGUUUUGAGAUCAUAUUUCAAACUCUUCAUGCUAUGAAUGAAAGAUAAACUACAAUCAUCAAAAUAUUUAGUGUUUAUUUGGUAAUGUAACGUCAUAGUUGUUGUGAAUUGAAAUUAUUUCUGUGAGAUAAAAGGAUUUGGGUCAUCGUUUGUUAUUCUCUGGCAAUAUUGUCUGGCCGUGACUAUUUGUUAAAUAUUAAAAAAAUAAAAUUAUAUUUAUUAAGUAUAAAAAAUAAAUAAACAAACAAAAAUAAAAGGAAAAGUUUAUACAUUACAUAAAAUAAUAAGAACAUUAUCAAUAUUUCACACUCUAUAAUUGAGUGAUGUGUUGUCCAACUGCCAUACAUUGGUCUCAAAUGGAGACUUAAAUAUUAAAGUCCAAAGUUAUUGUGAUGAUGACUUAUAAUCGCCAAACUUGACAUACGGGUAAUCAUGCAUUAUAAGGUGCUGAUUUCUUCCGAUCGGAACCUUAUUUUUCAUUUACAAAUAAAUAAAUGACGUGACUUAACGGGUGGUGGGGUCCUUUGUGCCAUUUGCGUAUUUCACUGAAUAGUUGAUUCAACUUGAUUGUAGCAGGAAGAUUCCUGGAAGUUGCCAUUUGCCAAUGCUACUAACAUUUUUAAACUUAGAAAACCCUUCAAUCAAUCAUUUAGUGGUAGGCUCUGGUAGCUUGCUUUGAUUAUGACAUAUGAUUAUUUGAUAAUAAAGUUAGAGGAUCUUAUUAAAUUCAUCCACAUGAUCCUUCAAGGCUCUGCUGUACGGCCAAGGCGGAUGUACGGUACAGCAGGUGUUGAAGUUAAUUAUCUCAUUAAUAAUAGUAUAAAAAGUUAAUCACUAAGAAACACAUAGCAAUAUUCUGGGAUAUAAUUUUAUAUCAUAACUUUGUAAGUGUAUAAUUACUCAUUAAAUUAACAAAAUUAUUUUAAAAUAUUUAGUUAAAAAAAUAAAUUAUAUUCUUUUUAUUUCAAAUAAUCUAUAAGUUAACACAAAACAUAAUCAAGCUGAGAAUUAAAAUAAUGCUACUGUAUGAGAGGAUUUUUAUUUUUUCCCGAAGUUUCACUAGGAAAUUAUUGAUAUAUAGCUUUAUUCGGAUCAUCUCAGAUCAAACGACAAAUAAUUGAAAGACUAAACUAAAUAGACCAGCCAACAACUUUGUACAGCAGAGUUCAAAAAUUAAGGUCAUGGUAUUGAGGUGUUCUAUCUUCAAAAGUACGGUAUAGUGAUAAAAUAAAAACUAUUAGUCUUUGGUAAGAUAUGACUUUUAAAUAAUAAUUUUCACAAAAAUACAAAGAAUAUUUAUAAAGUACUUCUAUAGUGAGGAGACCCUCGCUUUGUUAAAGUGAAAAUAUCAAUAAUAUACAAGAAACAUAUAUUUUAACACAUUAAGAACUGUAUCUUUUUAAUCUAUUGGUGUAUUGAAAUAUGUGUUAUUUAGUUUGUUAGUGAUAUCAUCACUUUGUUAAAAUAAGGAUGUUAGAACCAUUAUAUAUAAGAAAGCAAAUAUAUUUUGUACGGUAUAAUAGUGUAAUAACAUCACCUUUUUGUAGGGAAAAUUUUUGGAUUGCAAUUCUCAUACAAUACGUAAAAUUAUCAUAAUCUAUAAAUUGUAUUUUUGAUUUUCUGUGGUAGUAAGUUAGACUCCUUAGUGACGAUUUAAAUUGAAAAAAUAAAAUCAUAAAUAAGAAUUAUUUGACAAGAAUUAAAAUAAUUGAUAAAUAUUUGAGAGGAGCAAUUUUGGAAGAUUCGAUUUCUAAUCGGAGGGGAAUUUGAAUUUUACAGCCUUCGGUGAGGAAUCCAAAAUGCACAAUUUGAUGAAAAUUAAAUUUCAAUAGAAAUUGAAUUCCCUUUAUUAGUGAAAACCAAACAACAGAAAAGUGAAAGGAAUUUGAAUUCAUUUCCUUCCUCUCUUCUCCCUCCAACUAAAUACCAUCGAAAUCCAAAGGUAUGGGAUUGGGAUUCCAUACUGAUCAGAAUGGGAUUUGUUCAUAUUAUUAGGACCAAUUUUAAAAGCAGUCGGAGUUUCGGAGUUUAAGAUUGAAAUUAAUCCCAAUUGUUGAUUUGGGACUCGAUAAGAAUUUAUCUUGGAACUCCAAUUCUCCCAAUUAUUUUAGUUGACAAUAUGUUUAACAUUAUUUUUUAAACAUUAUUAAUUGCAUAUUAUUUAAUUAUCAGUAUAUAAUAUUCUUUAAUUUUCUAAUUUUAUAGGAUUAGACACAAAAUUGAUUAUGCCUUUUGAAAUUUAAGUGUUAUGUCAAUUGAAUAGAAAACUUGGAGUAAAACUUUUGGAUGCUUUUGUUGAUUAUCAAUUUAUGCAUGAAUUUUUGUACGUUUAUUUUGGUUUCUUAUUAUUACUUUUAAACAUUUUUAUUGGUUUGAUUUAGGGUUAGUUUGGUAAUCCUGUAUCUUUAAAAUUAAUUACAGUUAGCUAUGCUGUAGAAAUUGAUAAAUCGUGAAAAGAAUCAACCGAACAUUUAGGUGGCGUUUGUUUUUUUGUCUGAAAUCUGAAUAGACCUGAAUUAGUCUGAAUUCUGAAUAGGUCUGAAUGUCUGAAUCUGAAUAAUAUGUUUGUUUUUUCGUCUGAAUCUCGGAAAAUAAGUAUUAAGUUGUUUUUUUUUUCAACUUAAAAAGCUGAAAAUAUGUACUUUUACAUUUGUAUCCUUAUUAAAUUUGAAUGUCAAAUAAAUAAUAUAUUAAAUACCAUAAUAUUUUAACAUUUAUAAGUAAAACUAUAUUCAAGUGAAUACAUAAUUAUUUUGGAAUUUUAAUAUAUAAAAUACCAUAAAUUUCAAAUUUUAUUGUAUAUAAUAUAAGAAAGAAAAAAUAGGGAUAUUUUUAUGUGAGGUAAAUAUCUAUGGGUGAGUUUUGGGAUAGACAUGAAAAAUAAAUUAUAAAACAGGGAUAUUUUUGACAUUAGCAAGCAAUUGACUUAAUUCAUAUUUCUCCAUUAAGUAAAAAGCCAAAAAAAUUAGCUUAUUUUAUUAAGUCAAAAUUAUCUAAAAAGUCUCAUUAAGUUAUAAAAACAAACACGUCUAAUUAACUUAAUUAAUUAAGUUAAGUCACUUUAAGUCAUUAAGUUAAAAAACAAACACCACCUUAGUAAAUUUUAUUUUAAAAAGUACAUUUAGUUUUAAAAUCAGUCGUAUGUGUUUCAUAAAUCUUAUUGUUAAAUCAGUGCAAGAAUGUAAAUGACUGAAUCAGACAUAAUGCUAAAUAAAAUUUAUUUAGACAUUUACAAACACGUAUAUAAAAUAUUUUUAUUACGUACAUAUAAUUAUUGAUAACUAAAAUAAAUAUUUUAUAUUAUUAAAUUUUAUUCUCUAUUUUGUUAUGUCCAUAUAAUUGGUAAUAAUAAUAAUUUCUUUAAAGUUUUGUAGGGAAAAUUUUUAGAUUGCAAUUCUCAUACAAUACAUGGAAUUAUCAUAAUCUAUAAAUUGUAUUUUUGCUUUUCUGUGGUAGUAAGUCAGGCUCCUUAGUGACAAUUUAAAUUGAAAAAAUAAAAUCAUAAAUAAGAAUUAUUUGAUAAGAAUUAAAAUAAUUGAUAAAUAUUUGAGAGGAGCAAUUUUGGAAGAUUCGAUUUCUAAUAGGAGGGGAAUUUGAAUUUUACAGCCUUCGGUGGGGAAUCCAAAAUGCACAAUUUGAUGAAAAUUAAAUUUAAAUAGAAAUUAAAUUCCCAUAUAUUAGUGAAAACCAAACAACAGAAAAGUGAAAGGAGUUUGAAUUUCAGGGUCCAACUACAAUACCUGUGGGGUUUGGUACCCUAUUUUUUGUCUUUUUCAAACCUACCGUUGGAUUUAAUGUAAGAAUUGCGUAAUGGCUGAGAUGUGAUUAUUGGGUUAUUAACAUCAAAGACCCUUAUUGUUCAUGCAAAAUAAACAAAAUCAAAAGUUUUGAAAUUUGACAUAUAAGUCCAUAAUAUUCUCUCUUUUUUUUUUAACUCCAUUGAAAUAGGUUUCCAAUUAAAUGACUUAUUCUUACAUUUAUUAAUAUCUAUUUAAAUUAAUUAAUUAAUUAAUUAACUACUUUGUUAUAUAGUUAAACAAUGCAUGUAUAUUAUUUACUAACCAUAAUUAGUGAUAAGUAUAAAUAUGAUCUUUUUUUUUUAAUUUAACAUAAUGGCAACCAAUUAUCUCUCACCUAUGUGAACAAGGUUCAAAACCCAUAAUUUUGUUUUUCAACACAAGAGAUUUUAUUAUCUCAAGUAGAUGAAAUAUACAAAAUACAAAAAUAAACUUAAUUUCAUAUUCUAUGUAGUUAAUUUUUUUUGUAACAUAAUAUUUAUUAAACAUACUAUCAACUAUUUAAUUAUAUAGUAAAAAUAUGUUAAUUUACUAAUAAUAAUAAAAUGUUAGUUUAUUAACUUGUAAAAUCUUUUUGUUAACAAUGAGUUUUUGUCCUUAAAUAAAUAAUAAUAAUUUAAUUGCACGCUUAAAUAAAUUGGUAUUUGUUACUCCACCCCAACUAUUUAAAUAGUCAUUAACUUAUCGGAGAGAAGGGUAAAAAAAUUCUAAACAAUUACUCUAUUUGAAAAUAAUUUAAAUAUUUCUUUAAAAAAAACUAAAAAUAAGUAUUUUCUAUUCUUUCUUCUUUCUUGCUAACAUCACAGAUGGAUAACAAUAGAGAUGGCAAUUCAACACAUAUCUAUCAAUUAAAAUAGAAGUCAAUUAAUAUAAUUAAGUGAAUAAUUAAUUGUGUCAUGAAUGAAUUAUCAUAUUAGGAGUUUUAAAACCAAACCCAAUAGAAUUAUUAAUCAAGUUAACAGCUAGAAAGAGCAAACAAAUCCAUUCAAGUUGGAUGUCUAAGUAUCUGAUCUGAAUAGAUUGGAUAGUAUCCAUAUAAAAUACUCUGAAUUUGAUUUAUUCAAUAUCCAUCCAUGAACUUGAAUAUUAGUAAUAUUUAAGUGUAUGAGACUAAAAUUAAGUAUUAUAUUUAAUAUUUAAGUUUUGUAAAUCAAAUGAAAAAUCAAAAUAAUAUUGCUAAAAAUUAUUGCACCACCAAUGACAACAAUGACGGUAUCAUCACUAAGAAAUAGACGUGAGUGAACAGAAAAACAAAAAACUAUCAACGUAUUCAAAAUUCUCUGAUCAAUGUAAUGGUGGCAAUGUUGCCGGAUAAAUAGAUAUGUCGGCGAUAGAUGAGCCUUCCAAUGCAAACAACUAUAACAAGACCCUAUGAUUAGAUGACAUUUUAACGCAGGGCGGAAGCGAUACUAGAUUUCGUUCUAUUAUACGUCUUGAAAACUCAAGAAAGAGACUCUCAUCAAAGAGAAGAUAUUUUAAUUGAGAAAAAACUGAAUAUUAUUAAUGAGAAGCUUGUGUCUGUUAUCAUAAAUUAAGAAUAAAAAGCCUAUAUAUAUAAUAGUAGCUAAAUUAAUCCUUAUCUUUCUCAAAUAAGAGAAAUAAUCUAAAAUCCUAAUUAGAUUAGAAUUACAAAUAUGACUCAAGUAAGCUUAAUAAAAUAAGAUAAAUCCUAAUAAAAUACCAAAUUUUAAAUUGACCCAAAUAUUAUAAUUCCUAGUAAAUUCUAAUUUAUUUAUUUUUUUAUAAGUUUGUUUGGUUUUUGGGUGUUUUUUAAAGAACAGAAAAUUAUAGGUAAUAGUAUAAGUAUAGAAAAGUAAAGGGGCAAAAUUAUAAAUAGGCAAAAGUUGGUGUUGCCAGCGACGAUGGUCGAAAAUUUGGCCUAGGAUAGGUGGAUCUAGAAGAUUUGAUGGUGUUGAGUGUGAUGCUGGUGGUGAUUUGUCUCAAAUAGUUGUGAUUUGACUGAAAAGUUGAGUUAAAGUAGUGGGUGGAGGUUGGUUUCAGUUUCUGGCGAUCCGGCCGAGGGUUGGCAGCGUGAGUGGGUUGAAAAGAAAGAGCUGAUGAUCGUGGAGGAAUGGGUGGUGGUGGAGGCUGUGAAUCGUAACGGAUUGCAGCGAAUAGAGAGGUGGAUUUUCGUGGUGGUUCAGCGGUUGUUUUGGCUAGUUUCCCGUGGCUACGGUGACGGGAUGGUGGUGUUAUGGGUUGGGUUAUGAUUGGCGACGUGAGGGCUUUUGGAUGGGAGAGAGGAUCGACCAAAAAGAAGAGAAACCAGUGGCGGCGGCAGCCGUGUGGCACGGAUGUGAUGGUAGCUUCGGGUUUUGUUGGGUUUUUUUUUUUAACUUGAUGGAACUAAUGUACGAAGUUGGUGGUCGAGAAUGCUCUGCCUAGUGCAGAAAAAAGCUCUAAUAUGAUUUAUGUCUUGAAAACUUUAAAAAGAUGCUCUCACCAAGGAGAAGAUAUCUCAAUUAUGAAAAAAUUAAAAAUUAUUAAUAAGAAGUUUGUGUCUGUUAUCAUAAAUUAAGAAUAACAAGUUUAUAUAUAUAAUAGUAGCUAAUCUUUCUCAAAUAAGAGAAAUAAUCUGAAAUCCUAAUUAGGUUAGAAUUACAAAUAUGACUCAAGUAAGCUUAAUAAAUAAGAUAAAUUUUAAUAAAAUAUUAAAUUUUAAAUUGACCCAAAUAUUAUAAUUUCUAGUAAAUUCUAAUUCAUUUUAUCUAAUAUGCUUCCUACAUCACGUUUUAAGGUUCAUUGCCUUUAACAACCAAAUUGAGGGUCUCUAAAUUUAAAAAAGAAAAAGAAAAGAAAACAAAAGGUGGUAGUGUAAUGUAACUCCUUGUGUUUUUGUGGUAUAGUUAUUGUUGCAGUUAUUUUAGAAGGAGCAUGCAACUUUACAUAUCACCAUUUGCUAGCAUUGAGACUAUCUUUAUGUAAAUCAUCCAAUUUCAAAUAUAAUGGAACCCUUCAUGUCCCCUUUCGAUUAAAAAUAUCAUUGCACGCGAAGAAACAGUAGUCACUAGUGAUUGUUUUAAUACAAAAUAUCUUUUUAUAAUUAAUUAAAAAAUAAGAAUAAAAAAUUUAUUUUAUUAUUCUGUUUCUAUAUGGAAAAUAAUUUUAAUUACCUUUUAAUUAAAAUGGGUGAGAAAAAUGAUGUCAUUGAUGGUGCAAAAUGGAUGAGAAAAAUGAUACUGUGUUGGUGUAGGACUAAUGCGUAAAAUUUUAAAAAUUUUCAACAUUUUCAUUUUUAUAACAAAUACCAGGACACUAUUAUAAUUGACCUUUAAAAAGACAAAAGAGAGGGGUACCAAAGGCAUGUUGCAAUGUAGCUUUGCCCUUGAAUUCAUUAAUUUUCUAAUUUUAUAGGAUUAGACACAAAAUUGAUUAUGCCUUUUGAAAUUUAAGGGUUAUGUCAAUUGAACAGAAAACUUGGAGUUAAACUUUUGGUUGUUUUUGUUGAUUAUCAAUUUAUGCAUGAAUGUUUGUACAUUUACUUUGGUUUAUUAUUAUUACUUUUAAACAUUUUUAUUGGUUUGAUUUAGGGUCAGUUUGGUAAUUUUAUUUUUAAAAUAAUUACAGUUAGUUAUGCUGUAGAAAUUGAUCAAUUGUGAAGAGAAUCAGCUGAACAUUUAGUAAAAUUUAUUUUUAAAAGUACUUUUAGUUUUAAAAGCAGACGUAUGUGUUUCGUAAAUUUUAUUAUUAAACUGGUGAAAAAAUAUAAAUGACUGAAUUGAACAUAAUGCUAAAUAAAAUUUAUUUACACAUUUACAAACAUGUAUAUAAAAUAUUUUUAUUAUGUAUAUAUAAUUAUUGAUAACUAAAAUAAAUAUUUUAUAUUAUUAAAUUUUAUUCUCUAUUUUGUUAUCUCAAUAUAAUUGGUAAUAAUAAUAAUAAUCUAUUUUAAGUUAAUGAUUUUAUUUCUUAAUUCAUAAAGAUAAUUUUGGAUUUUUAUUAUAUAAUGAGGAUAUAUAUAGAAUUGGAUUAAGUAUAAAAGUAAUUCUCAAAAUCAAAUUUUGAAAAACUAUUCAUUCACUACUUUUCAAAAUCUACUGUAUGAUGAGAUGAUUUUACCGAAAGUAAUUACUAAAAAAAUUUAUAAAACACUAAAACUUAGCUUUUAUGGUAUGUUUACUUCAUGGAAUGAGGAAUGUGAAUGAAAGAAUGAGAAUGAAACCCAUGUUUACUUGGCAAAAUAUAAUUUGGGAAUGAGAAUAAAAUGUGUGGAUCUCACACAAUUUGAGAAUAAGGAAUGGGAAUCCCAAGCCCAUGAGGGGUUGGGAAUAAAAAUGAGGGAAUGAGAAUGAAAUAUAUAUUUACUUUUGUAUCCCUCUAAUUUUUUCAUAUUUCCUAAAUUACCCUCAUUCAAAUCACAAUUAAUUUUAUUAUUUAAAAUUUCAUUAAUAAUAAUAAUAAUAUUAUUAUUAAAUUUUAUUAACUUUAUUAUUUUAGUUAUUAUUAAUUAUUUUUAUUAAUAUUAUUAUUAUUAACAAUAAAAAUAAUGAUAAAAAUAAUAAUUAAUAAAAAAUAAUUAAUUUAUCAUUAUUAACAAUAUUAUCAUUAUUUUUGUUAUUAUUAUUAUUAUUAUUAAAAAUAAUAAUAACAAUAAGUAAUAAUAACUAAAAUAAUAAAGUUAAUAAAAUUUAAUAAUAAUAAUAAUAAAUGUUAAUAAUGAUAAUAUUAAUAAAAAUAAUAUUAACAAUAAUUAAUAAUAACUAAAAUAAUAGAGUUAAUAAAAUUUAAUAAUAUUUUAUUAACUCUAUUAUUUUAGUUAUUAUUAAUUAUUGUUAAUAUUAUUUUUAAUAGUAAUAAUAGUAAUAAUAACAACAAUAAUGAUAAAUUAAUUAUUUUUAUUAAUUAUUAAUACUAUGGGUAUUAUGGUAAAUUGAUUCUCAUUCUCAUUUAUUUUGCCAAGUAAACACAUCAAUUGCAUUCCAGCACAUUCCCAUUCCCAUUUAUUUUUGCCAAGUAAACAUUGAAAUCUCAUUCCCAUUCCUCAUUUCCUUUCCAGUCCAUUCCCAUUCCACCUCAUUCUUAUUCCAAGAAGUAAACGCACCAUUAAUAUUUAAAAUCACUUUUGAGAUUCCCAAAAACAAUCCUAACAUGCCUUUAUUUGGGUGGUGUUAGAACUUUUAGUUUUUAAAUUUAUAAAACAUUAAAAAUUAGCUUUUAGUUUUUAAAAUCACUUUUGAGCUUCCCAAAAACAAUCCUAACAUGCCUUUAUUUGGGUGGUGUUAGAACUUUUAGUUUUUAAAUUUAUAAAACAUUAAAAAUUAGCUUUUAGUUUUUAAAAUCACUUUUGAGCUUCCCAAAAACAAUCCUAACAUGCCUUUAUUUGGGUGGUGUUAGAACUUUUAGUUUUUAAAUUUAUAAAACAUUAAAAAUUAGCUUUUAGUUUUUAAAAUCACUUUUGAGCUUCCCAAAAACAAUCCUAACAUGCCUUUAUUUGGGUGGUGUUAGAACUUUUAGUUUUUAAAUUUAUAAAACAUUAAAAAUUAGCUUUUAGUUUUUAAAAUCACUUUUGAGCUUCCCAAAAACAAUCCUAACAUGCCUUUAUUUGGGUGGUGUUAGAACUUGUAACUUUUGGAUCUUUUAGUUUUUAUUGGUUGGAUACAAUAUUGUGACUUGAGCGUCGGAGGGUUUUCACCGGAAAAACUUCUAGCGCCCCCUGACUGUUCUUUGUGCUUGCAUGCUCGCGGGUUAUCUGCUCAUGGAUCAUCUGCUCAUAGAACAUCUGCUCACGGUGCUCACUGAUCAGCAGCUCGUGGAUUAUCUGCUCAUGGUGCUCACUAAUCAGCAGCUCAUAGAUUAUCGGCUCAUGAAUUAUCUGCUCAUGGUUAGAGGAUUUUCUUGAAGAUUAAUAAGCCGCUUCUUCACCAAACAAAUUUAUUGUUGAUGCGGGGAUGUGGUUUUGAGUCAACAACCAACUCAACCAGAUUUCUGCAUCAACAUAAAGUAUUAAUCAGCUUAAUUAAUUUAUAAAAUUUAAAUCUAAUUAAUAAGUGACACAUAAAUGCCAAGUGCAAUAUAUGCAAAUCAUGUUUGUCGAUCAUUACAAAACUGGCUCUUGAAAACAAGCAAGAAAGCUUAAUUAAGAACUUAAAACAAAAAGAAUUAGAUUGAGGACAGUCAAGCCUUAUUUUUUCAAGGAUGGAGCUUAUAAAUCUUCAAGUACCAACAUAUGCUUGGCCCAAUUGUUGUUAUUAAAAUUUCAAAAUAUAAGUAUGACAUAGCAAAAAUUUGAUGGUACAUGUGUCGGAAUAUACUAGCUAGUUCAUGGAUGCAUUUGAUUAUUGUUUCCAUAAAUUUGAACCAAGAAGGAUGACACAAUAAAAUUUGAUUUUAUUAUAUGGUUGAUUUCAUAUCUCAUGCACUCAUUUCUUAAGAUAAUCAGAUUUUCUCUGACAUCUUUUGCAAAUGUGGAAAUAUCAAUUAUGAUCAAUCAAAACGAUCUCAAAACCUUUCAACGAGACAUAUUCAUAAUACAAUAUUGUGAAAAUUACACCAAAAAUUUGAUUUAUUAUAUAUUAUUAUCCAACGAGCACACAAAAAUGAAUUCAUACAAAUCUAAAAUACUUAGCAAUUUUCAAAUAGAAUUUACCAUGUACUACAAGAAAAUAUGGUAUAUGUGACCCCUAAUGCGAAUGCAAAAGCAGCCAUUACGUAUAUCACUAAGAGCCUGUUUGGUAUGGCUUAUUUAAGAGCCAUAAGUGCUUAUUUAAUCGUAUAAGCGCUUUUUAAAAUUUUUUAUGGUGUUUGGUUAUUUUUUUAAUAGAGUUUUUUUAGCUUAAAUAAGCUAAUUUACCUCUACUAGGAAAAGCCCAAAAUUUGAGCUUUUGGGAGUAGAGGUUAUAAAGCUUUUCUAAAUAUAUAUAAUAUAAAAAAUAUCAUAUAGUUUAAUGGUUCAAAAGUGCUUUUUUUAUUGACAACCAAACACCCAAUGACACUGCUGUCACAUAUGUUACUAACCACGUGACGGUAAAGAGCCGUUCGGUAUACUACUAUUUUAGAAUUUUAAAUUUAUUUCCAGUUAGAAAACUAUUCGCUGGACUCCAUCGUAAACCUAACUGGUUGCCGGCGAACGGCGUAAAACACCGGGCAUCUUCUUCUUCAUCGUAUUCUCCCUUCAUCUUUUGAGUUAAGCUUGUGAUUAUGAGUUUCUUCUCUUACUUAGCUUGUAAUUAUAGAUUUUGAUUCUUUUUAAUUCGUAUUGUAGUCGUUAUUGUCAAUUUUUGUCUCGCCAGCAAUUGUUUUUAUUCCUACAAGUUGAAGCCCCUGUGUUCUUGUUCCAUUGGUGUGUUUGCUCACUCAAAUUAAUUUUGUUCUACAAAGUUCAAAUGGAUUCAUUUGAAUUACUAUUGAAUUUAGCUUUAAUUCCAACAUCCAUUCUAAUGUUUUGCUAUUAGAUUUACUUUAAUUUUAUGUUUAAAGCUUCUACAAUGAAUAGCGGAGCUUGGGUUUUAGUUUCAUUUUCUAGAUAACUUGUUUAUCUUGUAUGCUCACCAAGUGCAUGUUAUAUUGUCUGAUAAGUUAUAUAUAUUGCUGAUUCUAUAUUAAUAAUGUUACGUUCUAUUUUCAGAAAUUAUAAUAUAAACUGAAUUAACUUGUAGAAUAAGAGCUUGGAGUAGUGUUAUGUUCUUGAAUAAAUGAAAGUCCAUAUUGUGUAAGAGCAUGUAGAUGUAAAGCGCAUUGCCAUUUCUAUAAAGGACUUUCAUUCUGUUCAGAUGCUCCUCUUGAACUCUGAAAGGUGCCUCAUUCAAGUCCUAGCUAUAACUACUAGCUUUGAUUAAUUAAUUUCCUGUACUAGCAGAAACAGAUUUAUUUAUUUAAAUAAUUGUCUAUGUACUAAUUAUAAUGAAAGUAUAUGAAGAAAUUUUUUAACAUGAAUGACUUCUAAAUGACUUAAAAACCUAAAGGAUAUGAGAAAUAAUGCUCAUUUCACUUGAACGAGCCUAUUAAUACUUGUAUGUCUAUGAUUGUUAAUAUUGGCUUAAGCAUUUCAGUUAAAUGGUUUACAUAACAGGGAAAAAAAUUUAAAUGAAAACUUUAGAGUUCUAACAGAAAUAUAAUUGACUAUGCAGAUAUAGUUAUUUUAUGGUAUACAAAUCAUGUUGCCUUAAUCUCAAUGUCCUAUGACCUAUUUUAUUUUAUAUAGUCAUUCAUUUUUGCCAUGGCUUUUUGUUUUUAUGAGUAUGGAAAUAGUGGGAUUUGGUGUAUCUUAGCAUCUUUGGAAAAUUCUCUUUAAAUGUGGCAAACAAAAAUAUACAUAUAAUCAAGUUUCUUAAUCAACUAUCAUAACUGGCUAGCAUGAUGAUUUUAUAGCAACAAGGAGGCCAAGAAGAGAGAUAAAGAAACCUGGAUGACUUACUAAAGAUAUAGUGGUAGCCUAUGCACUUCCAGUUAUUGAUGAUGACAUCCCCAACACUUUCGGUGAAGCAUUACACAGCAGUGAAAGUGAUCAGUGGAAGUUAGCCAUGGAGGAAGAGAUGAAAUCUCUGCUGUACGGCCAAGGCGGAUGUACGGUACAGCAGAAACAAAAAUAUACAUAUAAUCAAGUUUCUUAAUCAACUAUCAUAACUGGCUAGCUAGUUCUUGCCUGCCUUGCUGCCAUUACCCAGGCCAUUACAUUGCAUAGCAUAAGGAAUAGUGAUUAGGUGCUUAUUAGUGAUUCGUUGAGCUUAUUAUUGACAAACCAACAUAUUCGCCUUUACCCACAACUUAGUUUGAUUAGUUAUUGUUGUGUAAUAGACCAAGUUCGUAACCCAACUGAAGCAAUUAAUCAGAUUUACAAAACAAGCAAGAACCCAGAAAACGAACCAGGGGAUACAGUCAAGUAACCAAGAACAAGAAAGAAAACUUAAUCAAGAGAUACAAAACAGAGGUUAACGUGGUUCAGUACCAUGAGUACUUACAUCCACGAUCAGGAACAGUAGAGCUAAAGCUUUAUUAGGAGAUAUCAAGAUUACAAUGGAAUCCACUCAGAGCAAGAAACUAAACUCACACAGAGAAUCUUUCUCAACUCACAAACUAUCUCACUUGACUAACUGAUCAGCUCUCUCUCUCACUGAAGCUAUAAAGCUAGCAGUUUACAGCUGGUUAUAACGACUAACUAAAACCACCUGGGGACCCACCCAUGCUGACUCAGCUUUCCAGCUCAGCUAAUAUAUAUAACCGAAUGUAACUAACUUGAUUCCACAAAUCUCCACCUUAGUUAACUCGGUUAUGGCUUUACUCAUCACUGCUCCAUCACCAGUUAACUUGUCUCACAAGUUAAUAACCCCAAUCAAGUCCAAGGAGUUCCUGAACUUAACUGUUGGCAAAGGUUUUGUUAGCAUGUCUGCUGGAUUUACUUCAGUAGGAAUUUUAAUGACAUUGAUUACACCAUUUCGAAUUUCUUCCCUGAUAAAGUGCAUCCUCACAUCCACAUGUUUUGUUCUUUCAUGGUACUUGGGGUUUUUGCUCAACUGUAUAGCACUUGAGCUAUCACAAUUGACAGUGACUGAUUCUUGUUCCAAACCCAGUUUUGUAACUAACCCCUUCAACCAUAAUGCUUCUUUCACAGCCUCUGUUAAAGCAAUAUACUCUACCUCUGUUGUUGAGAGAGCAAUUACUGAUUGUAAUGUUGACUUCCAGCUCACAGCUCCACCACAGAGAGUAAACACAAGACCAGUGACUGACCUUCUCCUAUCUAAAUCUCCUGCAAAGUCAGAAUCAACAGAUCCCACAACUUGGCUAGAUGCAUUACUAACUUGUCCAAACAUUACUCCAUACUCUUCAGUACUUUUAAGAUACCUCAGUAGCCAUUUAACAGCUUCCCAAUGUUCCUUGUCUGGAUUCCCCAUGAACCUGCUGACAAGACCAAUUCCAUAGGCAACAUCUGGUCUGGUACAGACCAUAGCAUACAUAAUGCUACCAACUGCACUGGAGUAGGAAUUCUCCUCAUGAGAUCAAUGUCUGCUUCUUCUCCUGGUUCCUGCUGUUUAGAAAGUUUGAAGUGUGCUGCUACUGGGGUAGUGACAGGCUUUGAGUUCACCAUCCCAAAUCUACUGACAACCUUUUUCAAAUAUCCAGAUUGUGUGAGAAAUAGAGUCUUGGCAUGUCUGUCCCUUUUGAUUUGCAUUCCCAGUAUCUUAGCAGCAGGACCCAAAUCCUUUAUUUCAAACACUGCCAUUAGCUCAGUCUUGAGCUUCUCAACUUCUGCUCUAUGUUUACAUGCUAUAAGCAUGUCAUCAACAUAGAGGAGUAGACUGAUUUGAUCACCUAAGUUCAGCUUCCUGAAGUAAACACAAUUGUCAUAUUCACUUCUGCUGAAGUUGUGAUUCAGCAUGAACUCAUCAAACUUUAAGUACCAUUGCCGAGGAGACUGCUUCAAUCCAUACAAGCUUUUCUUGAGUAAGCAAACCAUGUCUUCAGUUCCUUCCUCAAUAAAGCCUUCUGGCUGAGCCAUCAGGAUUUCUUCUUCUAAGUUUCCAUGUAAAAAAGCAGUCUUCACAUCCAUCUGGUCCAAUUCUAAAUCAAAGUAGGCUGUGAUGGCUAAUAGAACCCUUAUAGAGGAAUGUUUCACAACAGGUGAGAAGACUUCAUUGAAGUCUAUCCCUUCCUUUUGUGUGAACCCCUUUGCCACAAGCCUGGCUUUAUACCUCACUGAUUUACUUCCAGCAACUCCCUCCUUGAGUUUAAAGAUCCAUUUGCAGCCCACCAACCUUCUUCCAGCAGGCCUCUGAACUAGCACCCAAGUGUUAUUGUCUUUGAGUGAUGCCAUUUCUUCUUUCAUAGCACUCAGCCAUUUUAGCUUAUCUCUGCUAUUUAUAGCCUGCUUGUAGCUUUUAGGUUCUUCUCCAGUCAUCUCAUUAGCAACCAUUAGUGCAUAGGAUAUUAAGUCAGCAAUCCCAUAUCUUUUGGGCAGUUUAACUACCCUCCUUUCUCUAUCCCUCGCAAGCUGAUAGUUAUCAAGUUCUGAUGUUGUAGUACUUUCUUGAUGGUGCUCAGUCAUCUCUUUACUUACUUCCAAAUUGUCUCUGGACUCCACCUUCAACUUAGAUCUCUUUUGAGGUUCAGAUAUUUCAACUUCUGUUCCAACCUUCUGCUGCAACAUAGCUUCCUCAUUAAACACUACAUCUCUACUAAUCAAGGUUCUGGAUGGCUUGCCAUCAAUGCACCAGAUUUUGUACCCCUUUAUGCCUUCAGGAUACCCAAUGAAGUAUCCUUUCACAGCCCUUGGUUCUAGCUUGCCCUGACUUAUAUGAGCAUAAGCUGGGCAGCCAAACACCCUGAGAUUACCAAGAUUUGGUGGCUUCCCUGACCAUGCUUCUUGUGGUGUUUUGAAAUCUAAAGCUGAUGAGGGGCUCCUAUUUAUUAGAUAUGCAGCUGUAUUAACUGCCUCAGCCCAAAAAUGCUUUGACAGAUUUGCAUUAAACAGCAUGCAUCUGACCUUUUCAAUUAAGGUUCUAUUCAUCCUUUCAGCCAAGCCAUUUUGCUGGGGAGUGUGUCUCACUGUCCUAUGUCUUGCAAUGCCCUUUGAUUUACAAAAAUUUUCAAAGUCACUGCUGCAGAAUUCCAGGCCAUUAUUAGUCCUCAGCCUUUUAAGCUUCUUUUCUGUUUGGGUUUCCAUAAGUGCAGUCCACUCUUUAAACCUUUCAAAUGCUUCACUCUUAUGCUUCAGCACAUAGACCCACACUCUUCUAGAGUAAUCAUCUAUGAAUGUGAUGAAGUACCUAGCUCCACCAUGAGAGGGAACUUGGGAUGGUCCCCAAAGGUCUGAGUGAACAUAGUCUAAGGUCUGUUUUGUUUCCUGUCUACCAGAGUUGAACUUUUGCCUUGUGGCUUUACCGAACACACAUUUUUCACAAAAUUGUAGUGAGGUGAUUUGAUCAUUUCCUAGCAGCCCUUGCUUACUUAAUUCUCUCAACCCCCUUUCACUCAUGUGUGCUAGCCUCAUGUGCCAAAGUUUGGUUUUAUCACUGCUUACACUAGCUGUGAUUGCUGGCAUAGUUGUUGAGCCAGCAAGUACAUAUAAACCAUUCCUCCUUAUGCCUUUCAUUAUAAUCAGGCCUUUAUCUUCAAUUUGAAGAUUUCCAUUUUCUGCUUUUAUACUACAGCCCCUCUGAUCCAUAACUCCUAAAGAUAUUAGAUUUCUUUUUAAUUCUGGAACAUAUCUGACCUGAUAGCCUGCUUGUAGCUUUUAGGUUCUUCUCCAGUCAUCUCAUUAGCAACCAUUAGUGCAUAGGAUAUUAAGUCAGCAAUCCCAUAUCUUUUGGGCAGUUUAACUACCCUCCUUUCUCUAUCCCUCGCAAGCUGAUAGUUAUCAAGUUCUGAUGUUGUAGUACUUUCUUGAUGGUGCUCAGUCAUCUCUUUACUUACUUCCAAAUUGUCUCUGGACUCCACCUUCAACUUAGAUCUCUUUUGAGGUUCAGAUAUUUCAACUUCUGUUCCAACCUUCUGCUGCAACAUAGCUUCCUCAUUAAACACUACAUCUCUACUAAUCAAGGUUCUGGAUGGCUUGCCAUCAAUGCACCAGAUUUUGUACCCCUUUAUGCCUUCAGGAUACCCAAUGAAGUAUCCUUUCACAGCCCUUGGUUCUAGCUUGCCCUGACUUAUAUGAGCAUAAGCUGGGCAGCCAAACACCCUGAGAUUACCAAGAUUUGGUGGCUUCCCUGACCAUGCUUCUUGUGGUGUUUUGAAAUCUAAAGCUGAUGAAGGGCUCCUAUUUAUUAGAUAUGCAGCUGUAUUAACUGCCUCAGCCCAAAAAUGCUUUGACAGAUUUGCAUUAAACAGCAUGCAUCUGACCUUUUCAAUUAAGGUUCUAUUCAUCCUUUCAGCCAAGCCAUUUUGCUGGGGAGUGUGUCUCACUGUCCUAUGUCUUGCAAUGCCCUUUGAUUUACAAAAAUUUUCAAAGUCACUGCUGCAGAAUUCCAGGCCAUUAUUAGUCCUCAGCCUUUUAAGCUUCUUUUCUGUUUGGGUUUCCAUAAGUGCAGUCCACUCUUUAAACCUUUCAAAUGCUUCACUCUUAUGCUUCAGCACAUAGACCCACACUCUUCUAGAGUAAUCAUCUAUGAAUGUGAUGAAGUACCUAGCUCCACCAUGAGAGGGAACUUGGGAUGGUCCCCAAAGGUCUGAGUGAACAUAGUCUAAGGUCUGUUUUGUUUCCUGUCUACCAGAGUUGAACUUUUGCCUUGUGGCUUUACCGAACACACAUUUUUCACAAAAUUGUAGUGAGGUGAUUUGAUCAUUUCCUAGCAGCCCUUGCUUACUUAAUUCUCUCAACCCCCUUUCACUCAUGUGUGCUAGCCUCAUGUGCCAAAGUUUGGUUUUAUCACUGCUUACACUAGCUGUGAUUGCUGGCAUAGUUGUUGAGCCAGCAAGUACAUAUAAACCAUUCCUCCUUAUGCCUUUCAUUAUAAUCAGGCCUUUAUCUUCAAUUUGAAGAUUUCCAUUUUCUGCUUUUAUACUACAGCCCCUCUGAUCCAUAACUCCUAAAGAUAUUAGAUUUCUUUUUAAUUCUGGAACAUAUCUGACCUGAUUUGGAUCCCUUUCAAUGCCAUCAAACAUCCUAAUGCUAAUGGUGCCAAUUCCAGCUACCUUACAGGCAAGAUUGUUCCCAAGCAAGACUUUUCCACCAUCAAUGCUUUCAAAAGUCUUAAAGAAAUCUACAUUUGGACACAUAUGGAAGGAGCAACCUGAGUCAAGAAUCCACUCACCUGAAGAUUGCUUUUCUGCAGCAAUGAGGACAUCUGCAUCAUCUGACAUCCCUUCAUCUUCAGAGGCUACAGCAGCUUUUCCAUUAGAUUCCUUUUGCAAUUUCUCAAGCUUCUUCUUCUCAAAACAAUCCUUGAUGUAAUGACCUUCCUUUUGACAAAAGUAACAUUUUCUCUUCUUUUUCUUCUUGUCUGGUUUAUCUUUCUGGUUGCUGUUCUUCUUGUCUUUGUAGAAUUUCUUAUCUGGUUUUGCUUUUGCAACUAAGCUUUCUGCAGGGUUUUGAUCCUUCCCAUCUAUUCUUCUCUUCAAGUCCUUUGAUUCCAGGGCAUUCUUUACAUCCUUUAAUGUAAGUGUUUGUCUUCCAUAAAGCAAUGUAUCAACAAAAUGUUCGUAAGAGUCUGGGAGUGAGCUUAAUAGGAUUAGGGCCCUAUCUUCAUCUUCAAGAACUAUAUUCACAUUUUCAAGGUCUAGGAUCAGCUUAUUAAAUUCAUCCACAUGAUCCUUCAAGGCUGUUCCAUCCUUCAUUGAAAAUGUGUAUAGCUUUCUUUUCAUAUACAGUCUCUUGGCUAGGGAUUUCUUUAAAAAUAAUUCUUCCAGUUUCUCCCAUAGACCAGAAGCAGUCUUUUCUUUAGACACCUCUCUUAGCACUUCAUCCGAGAGAUGUAGGAUGAUAGUGCUAUGAGCUUUGUUGUUGAUAGUCUUCAUGUCUCUGCCAGAGCUGGAUGAUCAUUCUUCCUUCCCUUUCUUGGCCUUUGAAUCUUCAUCUUCUUCAAGAGCAGCAUCCAAUCCUUGUUGAAUCAAGAUUGCCCUCAUUUUGAGACUCCACAAAUAGAAGUCAUUGUCCCCAUUAAACUUCUCCAGAUCGAAUCUUGUAGAUGCCAUUGGAGGAUUUCAAAGAGCUUGAUAGAUGACCAAGCUCUGAUACCAGUUUGUUGUGUAAUAGACCAAGUUCGUAACCCAACUGAAGCAAUUAAUCAGAUUUACAAAACAAGCAAGAACCCAGAAAACGAACCAGGGGAUACAGUCAAGUAACCAAGAACAAGAAAGAAAACUUAAACAAGAGAUACAAACAGAGGUUAACGUGGUUCAGUACCAUGAGUACUUACAUCCACGAUCAGGAACAGUAGAGCUAAAGCUUUAUUAGGAGAUAUCAAGAUUACAAUGGAAUCCACUCAGAGCAAGAAACUAAACUCACACAGAGAAUCUUUCUCAACUCACAAACUAUCUCACUUGACUAACUGAUCAGCUCUCUCUCUCACUGAAGCUAUAAAGCUAGCAGUUUACAGCUGGUUAUAACGACUAACUAAAACCACCUGGGGACCCACCCAUGCUGACUCAGCUUUCCAGCUCAGCUAAUAUAUAUAACCGAAUGUAACUAACUUGAUUCCACAAAUCUCCACCUUAGUUAACUCGGUUAUGGCUUUACUCAUCACUGCUCCAUCACCAGUUAACUUGUCUCACAAGUUAAUAACCCCAAUCAAGUCCAAGGAGUUCCUGAACUUAACUGUUGGCAAAGGUUUUGUUAGCAUGUCUGCUGGAUUUACUUCAGUAGGAAUUUUAAUGACAUUGAUUACACCAUUUCGAAUUUCUUCCCUGAUAAAGUGCAUCCUCACAUCCACAUGUUUUGUUCUUUCAUGGUACUUGGGGUUUUUGCUCAACUGUAUAGCACUUGAGCUAUCACAAUUGACAGUGACUGAUUCUUGUUCCAAACCCAGUUUUGUAACUAACCCCUUCAACCAUAAUGCUUCUUUCACAGCCUCUGUUAAAGCAAUAUACUCUACCUCUGUUGUUGAGAGAGCAAUUACUGAUUGUAAUGUUGACUUCCAGCUCACAGCUCCACCACAGAGAGUAAACACAAGACCAGUGACUGACCUUCUCCUAUCUAAAUCUCCUGCAAAGUCAGAAUCAACAGAUCCCACAACUUGGCUAGAUGCAUUACUAACUUGUCCAAACAUUACUCCAUACUCUUCAGUACUUUUAAGAUACCUUAGUAGCCAUUUAACAGCUUCCCAAUGUUCCUUGUCUGGAUUCCCCAUGAACCUGCUGACAAGACCAAUUCCAUAGGCAACAUCUGGUCUGGUACAGACCAUAGCAUACAUAAUGCUACCAACUGCACUGGAGUAGGAAUUCUCCUCAUGAGAUCAAUGUCUGCUUCUUCUCCUGGUUCCUGCUGUUUAGAAAGUUUGAAGUGUGCUGCUACUGGGGUAGUGACAGGCUUUGAGUUCACCAUCCCAAAUCUACUGACAACCUUUUUCAAAUAUCCAGAUUGUGUGAGAAAUAGAGUCUUGGCAUGUCUGUCCCUUUUGAUUUGCAUUCCCAGUAUCUUAGCAGCAGGACCCAAAUCCUUUAUUUCAAACACUGCCAUUAGCUCAGUCUUGAGCUUCUCAACUUCUGCUCUAUAGCCUUUCGUAUGAUAGUUGCUGGUUGUCAUACGGCAGUGUUAUUUGUAUGUUUGCUUUGUCGUUUCUCAUCCAAUUCUGGAAACGACAAAGUCGUCUCCUUCAGAAGGUUCUGAUUCAGGUUCACAUUUAACAAUCUCCACCUUGAAUCUGAAUCACAGCACUCCUAUGGCUUCUUCUUCUCGAGCUUCUGUAUCUUCAUAUUCUACAGAUGCCAGCUAAGUCUAAGCAGUGCUCAAACUUAGCCAUUGGAACUGGCUUUGUCAACAUAUCAGCAACAUUGUUACUGGUAUGAACCUUUACAAGCUUCAUAGUUCCUUUAGAGACUUCCAGCCUGAUGAAAUGGAGCUUGAUGUCGAUGUGCUUGGUCUUUUCAUGAUGGACUUGAUUUUUGCUCAGACUGAUAGCACUUUGACUGUCACAUAGAAUUGGUAUGGAUGUUUGUUGAUACCCCAAUUCAUUUAUCAUGCCCCUUAACCAUAUUGCUUCUUUGAAGGCCUCUACAGCAGCUGUGUACUCUGCCUCUGUUGUAGAUAGGGCCACUACACUUUGAAGUGAUGCUUUCCAGCUGAUUGUGCAGUUAUUAAGUGUGAAGAGAAACCCAGUGAGUGAUCUUCUGUUGUCUAGAUCUCCUGCAUAAUCAGAGUCAACAGAACCCUCAACCAGAUUGUAGUUAGCUCUCUCCCCUCCAUACAGCAGACCAUACCUUGUAAUCCCUUUUAGAUACCUCAGUAUCCAUUUCACAGCCCUCCAGUGUUCUUUCCCUGGAUUUGACAUAAACCUGCUGACCAGGCUUACUGCAUAUGACAAAUCAGGUCUUGUUAAGACCAUUGCAUACAUUAGGCAGCCCACUGAGUUAGCAUAUGGAGUUUUCAACAUUUCAGUUUGUUCUGAUUCAGUGCUUGGGCACUGCUGACUUGAUAACCUGAAAUGAGCUGCCAUUGGAGUGGACACUGGUUUACAGUUCAGCAUCCCAAACUUCUCUAAAAUUUUGUUGACAUAUUUUUCUUGUGAUAGAAACAAGGUCCUGGCUGUUCUGUUCCUUAUCAUUUCAACACCUAAGAUCUUUUUUGCUGGGCCAAGAUCUUUCAUGUCAAACUUAUCUCUGAGUUGUUGCUUCAGCAGAUUGAUCAACUUCAUACUUUUACUUGCCAGAAGCAUGUCAUCAACAUACAGGACAAGAUAGAUCACUUCCUCCCCGUAGGUCUUUCUGAGAUAUACACAGCAGUCAUAACUGGAUUUCUGGAAAUUCAGUUCUUGCAUGUAGCUGUCAAAUUUCAAGUACCACUGUCUGGGGGACUGCUUGAGCCCAUACAAAGAUUUUUGAAGUAAGCAAACCCAAUCAGGAUGUUGAGUAUUCACAAAGCCCUCAGGUUGUGACAUUACAAUCUCCUCUUGUAGAUCACCAUGUAGGAAGGCUGUUUUAACAUCUAAUUGUUCAAGAUGCAUAUCAUAAACAGCUACCAGUGACAGAAUAAUCCUUAUUGAUGUGUGUCUGACUACAAGUGAGAAGACUUCAGUGUAAUCAACCCCUUCCCUUUGGGUAAAGCCCUUUGCUACCAAUCUUGCUUUGAAUCUCUUUGGUUCAACAUCAUGGAUUCCAUCUUUUAUUUUGUAGAUCCAUUUGCAACCCACAACCUUCCUUCCUUCUGGUUUUUUGAAUCAAUUUCCAGGUGCCAUUCUUAUUUAGAGAGUCCAUCUCAUCUUCCAUGGCCUUGAUCCAUUGAGUUGAUUCUUUACAUGCUAUAGCUUCUUCAUAAGUUUUUGGUUCCUCUUGAUCAACCUCCUGUGCUGCUGUCAAGGCAUAUGCUAUUAAGUCAGCAUAUCCCAAUCUCUCUGGUGCUUUAAUUUGUCUCUUCUGUCUGUCUCUGGUAAGCUGAUAAUCUUGUAUUGAGAUGUGCUCUAGUGUUUGAGCACUGGUCUCAUCUGAGCCUUGAGUUUCUCCAGUAUGACUUGUGUUCUGAUCAUCCUCAGUUUUUGAUAGCUCCACCUCAAAGUGAGGUGUCUCUGCACUUGGGAUUUUCUGAAUUGAGCUUUGAGUAGAAGUCUGAUUUUUCAGCAUCUCAGACUCAUUGAAAAUAACAUCCCUGCUUAUUAUGCACUUAGGUGGUUUAAGGUCUACACACCACAGCCUGUAACCCUUAGUUCCACUAGGAUACCCUAGGAAAGCACAUUUCAAUGCCCUUGGUUCAAGCUUGCCCUGCUUGAUGUGUGCAUAAGCAGUGCAGCCAAAAAUUCUCAACUUGGUGUAGUCAGCUAAUCUCCCUGACCAAACUUCAUAAGGUGUUUUAAGUUCUAUUGCAGUUGAGGGGCAUCUAUUUAUCAGGUAACAAGCUGUACACAAAGUUUCAGCCCAUAAUGUCUUUAGCAGCUUUGAAUGAAAUAGCAUGCAUCUAACUCUUUCCAUUAAUGUUCUAUUCAUUCUUUCUGCCAAACCAUUUUGUUGUGGUGUGUGCCUAACAGUUUUGUGUCUCUGGAUUCCACUCUUUUCACACAAAUCAUCAAACUGUUUAUUGCAAAACUCAAGUCCAUUAUCAGUUCUAACCCUUCUAACUUUUCUAUUAGUUUGAGUUUCAAUCAAGGUUUUUCAGGCUUUGAAUCUAUCAAAAGCCUGAUCUUUGCUCCUUAUUGGAUACACCCAUACCAUCCUAGAGAAGUCAUCUAUCAUAGACAAAAAAUAACAAGCUCCACCUAGAGAUUCAAUCUGUGCUGGUCCCCACAUAUCCGAGUGAAUAUAAUCCAAAGUACCCUUAGUAUUGUGCACUGCAGUUUUAAACCUGGUUCUUGAGGACUUUCCUAGGACACACUCCUCACAGAAUCCAACAGUACUUAUCUUAUCACUCCCUAGAGCUCCCUGUUUUUCUAGUUCUUUCAGCCCACUUUCACUUACAUGACCCAACCUGAAAUGCCACAGUAAAGUUUUAUCUAGUUCCUGUUUUAUCACUACCCCAACAUCCCCAGUUAUUGCUGAUCCUUGCAGUAUGUAUAAUCCAUGCUGCAUUACACCUUUCAUUAGUAUCAGAGACCCUUUAAUAACUUUUAAGGAGCUUGAUUCAAGUCUGAUGCAACACCCUGCUUUAUCUAACAUGCUUAGGGAAAUUAGAUUUCUUUUAAGCUCUGGAAUAUGCCUUACAUUAUCAAGUUCUCUAAUUAUACCAUCAGACAUUUUCAAUCUAACAGAGCCUAUACCAAUGACUUUACAGGAAGCAUUGUUUCCCAUCAAGACUUUACCUCCUUCAAAGGGUUGAUAGCUACUGAAUAAGUUUUUAUGGGGGCACAUGUGAUAGGUGCAGCCAGAGUCAAGAACCCAUUUACCUUCAGUUUCCAUGUUUGAAGCUACCAGAACACCAGCAGAGUCAUAUCCCUCAUCUGAAUCUUCAGAAGCAACAGCAGCAUUUCCACUUCUGUUAUUAGCAUCCUUAGGCUUAAUCUUUCUCUCAGGGCAAUCCCUUUUGAAGUGACCUUCCUUGUGGCAGUGGAAGCACUUCAAGGCACUGUUCUUAGAUUUUGAUCUUCCUUUCUUUUUUCCUUUCCAGCCAUCUCUCUUCUCUGAUCUCCCUCUUACUGACAACCCUUCACCAUCUUUUGUUUCUGAUUUCUUAGAGCUUUCUUUGGAACUCAAGGCUUCCUUGAAAUCUUGCAUGGCCAGUGAUUGUCUACCAUACAAGAGAGUGUCAACAAAAUGUUCAUAGGAAGAUGGUAAUGAAGAUAGCAGAAUAAUGGCUUUAUCCUCGUCUUCAAUCUUUACAUUAAUGUCUUCUAGAUCUAAAAUGAUCCUAUUGAAGGCAUCAAUGUGAGUAGUUAAAGAGCUGCCUUCUUCCAUCUGGAGUGUGUAGAGCCUUUUCUUUGUACUCAAUCUUUUUGUCAAAGAUUUCUUUGUGUACAAAUCCUCUAGCUUCUUCCAAAGGCCUGCAGUUGUUGUUUGGUCUCCCACUUCUCUAAGUACUCCAUCUCCUAGACUUAGGAUUAUAGUGCUGUGAGCUUUGUCCAUGGCUUCUUGCAUGUCUUCAUCUUUGACUUUGCUGAUCUUUUUCGAGGUUCUUGGAUCCUCCAGCACUUCUUCAAUUCCCUGGUGAACCAGCAAUGCUCUCAUCUUCAGCCUCCAAAGAUGGAAGUCAUUUUCUCCCGUGAACUUCUCCACAUCAAGUCUCUGUGUUGCCAUUCUUGCUCUCAAGAUUCAGAGAUGUGAGCUCUGAUACCAAUUUGUUGUAAUUAAGAAUGAGAAACCUUAAUUCUUUUACCCAAUAAAUCACCACACACUGAUCUUGUUAAGGAAAGAAUGAAGGAUCGAUAUAGAAAUCAGAUUAAGAAUAAGGGUAUUUUAAUCAGAGACAGGAAUUAAGAAAGAAUCAAGCAAAACGAAAUGCAAAGGGGAUUAUAGAGGUUCGGCUUUGCAGCCUACAUCCUCUUGAGAAACAGAAGCCAUAGCUUUUCUUUAUGCUUUAACAGAUUACAAGUAUUAGAGUAAUUGCUACAAGGAACGAUUCCUCCCAAGUAUAGCCCUCAAGGCUAUAUAUACAACUCAGAAAAGAUCCAGAUAUGUGAGUUGUACAACAGCUCUCAUUCUGGGUUUGUUUCAACAGACCCAGCAAACUCCCGCCAAUCCUAACUGUAUGUAACAGCUCUUCAAAUUGAAACGGCAUCAGCAGCUGCCGUUUAACUUAAGCUUGAUCGUGCAAGUCACGUGCGUUACUUAAGCCUUUCGUAUGAUAGUUGCUGGUUGUCAUACGGCAGUGUUAUCUGUAUGUUUGCUUUGUCGUUUCUCAUUCAAUUCUGGAAACGACAAAGUCGUCUCCUUCAGAAGGUUCUGAUUCAGGUUCACAUUUAACAACAUGCAUUGAAAGCUUAGAUCGUUUAAGAAAUUAUUAAUAGACACAUGUUUUAUUAGUGUCAUCUUUGGAUGAUAGUGAGGAUCAUAUGCCUAUUAAUAAUUCUUGAAUUGUCUAGGCUUGAACUGUUUGGGAAUGCAUAGUUUUCUAUGGUAGCUAGUAGCUGAAGUUUUUUUCCCACGUAAAAAUGAGUUUUUCGCAAGCUGCUUCUCAUCUUCUUUGGGUGCAUACUAGAUAACACAUAAACACUCAUAUAUCUAUGUCGUUGCUUGGAGAACUAAAGGGAGAUGCUGCCGAAAUUUCUAUAAACGUAGAAGAAAACUUUAAAGUACUUGAGAUUGAAGAAACUUAUGCAUUCUUGAGAGGGAUAUACGCGACCACUUACCUUUUGUAAAUAUGAAGGGAGUGUUGGACAUAUUGAUGGGAGUGGAGGAGCUGAGUUGGAUGGACGUAAUCGGUUAUAGUUUUGCUGAGUUAACUUGGUUUUGAGCUUGUAAUUUUGUUUAUAAAUGGAGUACUAUCUCCAAUGUUGGUUUAUAAAUAUGUUUCAGCUGGCUGACCUUUUUUUUUGUUUCUAGGUAACAUGCUUUGUAUCUGUAAUUGAUAACCAACUGAAGUUCUCAGCUGUGGGUGAGGAUAUUUCUUUACAGAAGGUAUUGGAAACUGUUUUUUACAUUAAUUAUUGUUGUAUAUAUACUUUAAUUUUCACGUCUUUUUCUCUGAUUCUUGUCGCUUUACUUGCUUUCAUAUAUAUAAAUUCUAAUGAAAUUAACCAUAAAAUUGUAUAAUGAUUUUUUAAUUAUAUUGCAAAACUGUGCACACACGAAAAUAUCUUGGUCAGUAGUAGAAAUGAAAAACUAAAAUGAUUUAUCUAACUAAUUUUUGUAGUGCAUUAAAAGGAGAUGGUAAUGGAGAAGAGUUGGGUUGGUUUGGCCAAUAGAUAUCUAAGUUAUAGAUUUUGCAUUUGAGAAUGUUGUUGGUGAUGCAAGAAUUUAUUAUCCUUGUAAGAAGUGUCGAAUAUUUCGUUUUAAGGGAAGUAGCAAGAGACCAUAUCAUUAUAAAUGGUUUUUGGUUAAAGUAUUAAAACUGGAUAUUGCAUGAUGAGCCAUCUUCAUCUUUGGAAUCUAACCAAGAAACAGGUUAGUCAUGACUCGGGUGCUGAUGAUGAUAUGGUUGGAAUGAUACAUGAUACAUCACGUAAUCAAAUAUUCAAUUCACACACAGCAUUGUUAUGGACUAUCAGUGACUUUCUAGCACAUGCCAACUUGUCUGAGUGGAGUAUUAAAGGUAAAUAAGCAUUCUUGUUUGCCAACAAAACACUAGAUCUAAUUGGUUGAUACAUAGUAGAAAAUUUUGUCACGUCGGUAACGUCGAUUUUUACCGACGAAUCAUAGGUUUCGAAAAUAUAGUGCCUUUUGAUAAAUCUAGAGAGUGGGGACAAGCACCUUCUCGGAUGUCUGGAGCUGAAGUGAAAAAGCAGUUGAAUAAUAUACUUACUGAGUUUAAGAUUGAAGACUUGAAAAGUGGAGAAUGAAUAAAAUGAGAGAAAUGAUAAGAUUACUUGGACGAAGAAAAGCAUAUUUUAUGAACUACCGUGUUGGGAGUUCAAUUUGAUUCAUCAUAAAAUGUGAGACAUGAGGGAGAGACAAAAGCUCAGGCUUGUCUGCAACCAUGUGGGCCCUCAUAAGCAAUUCGUGUACACAACUUGGUUCACCAAGCCCAACAACUUGAAGCAGGCAAAAUCCGGGAACGAUCCUUCUCCUUCGCAACCCUAGCUGCCUUAACCUUGUAUUUCUGAUAUUUAGUUAAAGAGUAAGAAGAUUGCUCCUCUGUCAAUUACCUUCGAGAGAGACUUUCUUUGUUUUCUUAGCGCUGAAAUGGCCUCCACAAGCUUGUUCAUGGCAGAAUGAAAGAAUAUUCUGAAUUUCAUUUUCAGGGACACAUCGUCUAAUAAUUUGGUCUGCACAAUACUUGAACAAAUACGGGUCAUCCCAAAAGAAAUUCUUUAUCUUUGCAAAGAAUUUAGUCUUGUCUUGUUUGGUCCAAUGCUCUGGAAGUUUACCUGUAACAAGAUAAUUAACUAUAUCAGCAUACCAAGGUAAUACUUCGACAUUCAUUAAUUGUUCAUCUGGAAAUGACUCAUUUAAUGGUAAUGGUUCUGUAAUUGUGUCAAAGUGAAGACGAGAGAGAUGGUCCGCCACAAUAUUUUCUGUGCCUUUCUUAUCCUUGAAUUCCAAGUCGAAUUCCUGCAAAAGUAACACCCAACGAAUUAGUCUAGCUUUUACAUCUUUCUUUGUGAGAAGAUAUUUAAGAGCAGCAUGAUCUGUGAAUAUAAUUAUUUUACAACCAAUGAGAUAAGAUCGAAAUUUUUCUAAUGCAAACACUACUGCUAGCAUUUCUUUUUCAGUAGUUGAAUAAUUCAACUGUGCAUCAUUCAAUGUCAUACUAGCAUAGUAAAUAACGUGGGGAAUUCGAUCAACUCUUUGUCCUAAUACUGCUCCUACUGCAUAAUCAGAUGCAUCACACAUGAGCUCAAAUGGUAAGCUCCAGUUUGGGGCCUGAAUGAUGGGUGAUGAUGUCAACAACUGCUUUAAUUUUUCAAACGCCAUUAGACAUGAAUCAUUAAAGAUAAAAUAUACAUCUUCUUUUUCAUUCACCGAUGCUUGCUUGUGAAAGCAAGGGUUUUAGUUACGCUUUCAACGCUGUCAAUGUAGUGAAGUUAAGCAUUCGUAGAAUAGUAUUACAAGACUGCUGAUAAAAUUUCACUUGCAGGCAUUUCUCACAAAAUUUCUGUGAUUUAAUGUGCUUUCAUGCACGCAAGUCCUAACGUUUCUGUGAUCACAAAUGAAACUGAAGAUAAAACAGAACAACUACCAAACCUUUCAAGCGUGACGAAGCCAUGAGAAUUGAUAGCUCAAUGUCAUGGGAUGAGUGUUUUGUCACUAAAACAGAACAAUAAUUUUGAACACACCAUGUGGCAUUUAGACCAUUUGAUAGUUUGUUUCAAACAUAUUUGUUUAUAAAAUACUUUUCUUCAUGGUUUUGGUCCCAUAAUUUUCUAUGUAUGUACAGGUUUUAUCGAUACCGCUUUUGACAAGUUACACUUACAUAGCAAUGCUAUCUGGGUUCAGCCUUGCCUUUUUGAUAAACUGUGCUUCUGUGAUGAAGAAUGUUUUAGCUGUAAGUGGAUAUCCUAAUCAUUGAUCCAUAUACUUAGGUUAUAUUAUCCAUCAGCAAGUAUGUAUAAAAUUAUUUUGUGUCUUUUUUUAUUAGAAAUGUUGUAAUUCUAUUUUACUCUUCCUGAAUUAUAACAUCAGGUGUCUAUAAUAACUAGGUUAUUCCUUCUGCAAAACAGAGCAGUGGUAAAUAUUUUUUUUCUUUUGUUUGUUUAGUACAUUUACAUGCUUUCAGCUUUUUCAAAUUUUGUAUGUGUCAAAGUUUAAAUUUAAUUUGUUGGUUUAUGCCACAACAAAAGGAACAGCAUCAAAGAGGAGCUGCUAAUGGACUUGCUAUGACUGUAGUGUCGCUUACCAAAACUGCCGGUCCAGCUGUAGGAGGUGCUCUGUGAGUGUCCUGUUGAUUUUGUAAAACUAUAUGUAAAUGAAGUUAUAAUUUUUUUUUCAUUAAUUGGGGUUCUGGCAGAUUUUCUUGAUCACAAAAGCGUCAAGAUGCUGGUUUCCUCCCAGGAUGAUGAUCUACUAAUGAAAUUUCUCGCGAGUUUGUGUACUAUUUCGUGCUAAUUCUUCAUUAGCUGCUUAAACAAAAGUGCAGGUAACCAGAUGGUUUUUUUUCAUUCUGAGGCACUUGGAGUAAUAUUGACAUCCAAACCGUUUCUAACUCAGCGUGCCCCGUGAGUAGCGAAAAGAGCAUCUGUUGAAAUAUUUAAAUAUAUAUCAAGCAAAUUAAAGCUUUCAAAAUCUAUCAACAAUUUGAUUAUUUGAUGUGGUUGCCACUUGCCAUAUUUUGUGUUACUGUUCAAAAGGCUUAAAUAUGAAAAUGGUGGUUGGCGCUCACAGCAACCGAUUGCUGGUAACAUUAAUUGUUCAACUUAUCUCUGUCGACAUUUAUACUUGUUCAUUGUCAGAACUACGACAAUUUAUCUUCACAAUGAUGCAAGCUAGAAAGAAUUUUUCAUGUUAAGUAAAACAUUGAAGCCAUAAAGAGUCUUAAUUGAGUACUAAGUUUUCUACCAUGCUUUCAACGGUAACACAUUUGGAGCUCUUAUUCCAGGGGCUUCACAGUAGAGAGACCUGAUUUCGACCUUCUUCAGAACUUGGGGAUUCCGUAAUAACAGAGGACAACAGUUAUAUAAGAAUAUUAUUUUGUACAAUUUUCGUAUAACCUGACCAAUGCAAGUAUAAUUUUAUGAUCUUAACUCAGAUCAAAAGACCUUCAAUGAUGUAAAAUUUGCACAUAAAGUUGAGAACCAAACAUUAGAACUUAUGAUGAAACGGAAACAAAAACGUUGAGAUUAAAAGAUAGAGAAACACAAGCUUUUUAAAAGGGAUAAAUGCUCAUUUAAUUUCUAUAUUUUGAUUUAAGAGUGCAUUUAAUUCUUAUAUUUUAAAAAGUUCCUCAACCUUAAGACACCCCCUACUAUAAAAUAUAUUUCAUUCCUACCCUUAUUUUUUUUCUUUUUACAAUAAUACUCUUGGAAUAAUAUUUUUGGGAAUAUUAAUGAAAAUAAAAAAUGGUAAUUCAUCCAGCCAGCCUUAAACAAAGUAAAUAUUAAUAAAAAAUUUUAUGUUAUUAUUUUAGUUUUAGGACUAAUAUCGUAAAUUAAUUUUUUUAUGCAUUUAUUAGUAAGAUUGCUUUAAGAAUAUUAAACAUUACUUUAAGUUGGUUGAUAUUAAUUAAUUUAUAAAUAAUUAUUAGCAAGAUUGUUGUAAAAGUACAAAAAUAUUUUCAUAUUGAUAUUUAUUGAUUAAUUUGUCAAUUAAUUUUUUUAUAAAUAAAUUAAUUAAUUUAAGAAUAUUAUUGCCAGGAUAUCAUUGUAAAAGUAAAUAAAUUUUAAGGAAAAAAAUGUAAUGUAUUUAAUAUCAAAGUAUAUUGAGAUAUUUUUCAAAAUAUAAAGACUAAACGUGCAUUGAAGUUAAAAUACAGGUACCAGACGAGCAUUUUCUCUUUUAGAAAGUUUUAUAUUUUAUAAAUGAAAGUUUGAAUAACAAAAUUAGGGUUUUGGACUCCUUUUAAACUAAACCUAAAAUAUUACUACAUAAUAAUAUUCUCCUAACUGAAAUAAGAUAAAUGCUACUUAAAUUCUAUAUCUAAAAAAAAAGAUAAAAAUCCAGAAAACAAUAGGAAAAUGGAUAUUAAACUUGUAAAAUAAUAUGAAAUAUAUAUAAUUUUCAACCGAACCACGAGGCUAAUGCGGCGCUAUAGUAUUAGAUUAGAUUCCCCUCAUCCCAAACUUCAAAAGGUAUAUUAUACACCGUAAAUAGAUACUUAUAGCUCAAGUUGUUACCCUAGAGAGAUAAUCUACUCAUCCUAUGCAACCAUCCGCUGCAUCAAAUUCGUUCCAAAAUUAAGAAUAAACCAGCUGAUGCAUUCCAAACAAUUUAGAUGAACCGAUAAAAUAAACCUAGAGAUCAAAUAAAAUCAAAUGAGAAUGAUAAUUACCUCGGACUGAAGCUCAUACAAAUUCAUUAUUUGACACCUCCAGCAAUUGUUGAAAUAAUUGUUAAUUAAAUAUAAAAUAAGACAGGUACAUAUUAAUGACACACCACUGUGAAUCGAUAGCUAAGGACGGAGUAAAAUUUAAUUGUAAAUUAGGACAGUAGAGCAAGCAUCCAUAAACAUAACAUGAACGUAAUACAUCAAUUGAAAUAUCAUACGAUAAAUUAGUCAGAGAAAGAAAUAAGUAAAUAAAUCAGCAAAGGAAACAUGCAUGAACAAAUAAAAAAAAAAACAAAGACAAAAGUAGGAAGAGUUGUCUGUGAGAAUCUUCUUCUAUGGUCAUUGAAGUCCCAAACUCAAUGGAAAUUCAAUGGAACCUUAAAAACGAACAGUGAAGGAAAAUGAAGAAAUCUGCAGGAAAUAAGGCGAGUGAGAGUGAAGAAUUAAUUACCACCGAGUAAAUGCGAAUGAAGAAUGGAGACAGAUCGAGAAGUGAGAUUCAGAGAUUGUAUUGAAAUUGAGAGUUGUGAUCCAGAAGCGAUUCUUCUUCUCCGUAAUUCCCUUUUUCUUUUAAUGUUGUUGUUAUUAUUAUUAUAUAUAUAAGAAGCGGUCCUGAUUAGUACUUCUAGAUUUUCUCUUGGGCUUUCCUUAUUAUUGUUAAAAAAUGACACGAAGAACUUUGAGUUUAAAAAUCUGGCCCUGAUGCCUGGUAGCCCUUCAACAUAUGAAGCACCAAAUGUUUUGAUGAGAAAAUGACAAGACCAUUUAUCAAAUUUCUUGUGGAUAUAAAUACAUACACAUAGACGAGGCCAACCUCCUCAAAUGAGAAUCAGAGUGAUUACAAGACCUUGCAAUGAGACAAUGAUACACCAUCAAAUGUCAAAAUACAAUAGAAAUUCACGACAUAUAUAUAAUAAAAGACCUCUCAUUGAGUCAUAUAUAUUGAGAAUAAAAAUGUUAUAAUACAUACACAGAGCUUAGUUAGAAUAAAAUGUCUUUGAACUUGCGAUGAUCAAACAAAGGAAACAGACAGGUUGUAACUCACACUAUCACAAGAAGAUCACGAAGAUGGAAAUGGGAACCCAUCAGAAUGGAAACUUUGAAUAGAUGAAAAAAGAAAAACGACCUUAUUCACAGAAGAAGAGUGACUUAAAUCUUCAUCAGUAUCCAGACAUUUUGCAAUCAUAGAGUAGAGAAAUUUUAACAGGAACAGCAGAGAAAAUAUUAUGAAUAUGCUAUAGACCAAUAUACUUGUUCAUAGCUAACGUUUGAUGGUUUAAGGAUUUGUUCUAGGAAUAAUGGGCUGAUUACUUUCUUUUUAUUUUAAUUUUUUUUUAAUCCAAUGAAUGAUAUUCAGCUGUUAAUUAUGUGUUCAUAGGGAAGAACAUUUUCUAAGUACUUUCCUUGCCUUCUAACUUUCCGAAAAGCAAACCCAAUGAGCAAACAGAGCACAAACUAAAAUAAAAGAACAGCAAUGAUAACAAUAAAUAAUUGGCAAAGAAAAAAAGGAAAAAGUAUGCACGUUUUCAAGGAAUUAUAAAAUACGAAGGCUUUUAAUGAAAUUUUAUCAUAAAAACGUACGCAAGGAGUUAUAAAAAUUUUAGAAGACGAAGGGAGCUCCCAAAAAAAAAAAAAAGAAGAAAAAGACUCAAAUUAAACUAGACUAAAAAGACAUUCAAUUAUGCAAAAUCUGUCCAUAAAAGUCUGAAAGGAUCAUUAAAAUUGCAUUGCAAAUUUAACAGUAAACCGAGGGACCCAUUCUAAAUAAUUCAGAUGAAAUUGUGAAACAAGACAUGGGAUUAAAUAAAUGAAAUAAAAAUUAAUUACCAGUUGAGACUUUCUUCUAAAAAUUCGCAACUCCAAGUCAUAAGAAGCCUAUGAAAUUAGUCGUACUGCGUAGAGUAUGACGACGACACCGCCAACAGCUGAAAGUAAAAUUCUUAUUCAUCAAUUUAAACUUACUUUAUAACAAAUAUCUUAUCUAUAUUGUAUUUAAGAAAGCAAAUUUUGUAAAAAUUUAUCAUGGGAGAUAGAGAGUAAUAUGUAUAUACGUACCUUCUCAGCAUGUAAUUGUUGUAUGGUUGUGUUUAGAUCAUUAUUAGCCCAGCGCCGUUGAUCCGCUGUCUCUCCAUAGCAGACGUUUACUCUUAGAGGCGUGAUUGAUUCUCCUGUAGUGAAAAUCUUCAUCUUGGGACAACCAAUCACAUCCAGAUAUUCCAAAGAUGGGAAUUUGAAGGUGUAAUUGGCAGAACAGAAACUUGUGAGGCUAUCUAAAUCAAACAGUCCCAACGUCUUCAAUUUGCUAAAAACAAUCUCUUCUUUUUCAACUCCAUCUUUGUCAUUUAUUACCACCUCUGUCAUUGCUCUGCAUCCAUAUAUUUCUAUUGCUAUGAGUCGCACCAGAGUUUUUGCUGUGGAGGAUGUUACCAAGUGUAUCAAUUCCUUGCAACCGAAAGCUACAAGUUUUGUUAGGUUCCCAAAAGAUACCGAUGAUGAUGGCAAUAGAAUUAACAGACUUUGACAAUGAUAUACUUUUAGAAUUUCAAGAUACUGAAAAAUGGGGCCAAGUUUGGAGUCUUGCUUGCACAGCUGCUCCAGAUGAUAGUGCCAGCGCAGCUGUAAUUCUUUUAUCAUUGCCAACUUCCCCACAUGUUUCUCUAAGCAUCCUUCCAUCGAAAAUACCUCUUCGUGGGAUGAAAAAAACAACAGUGUGAGUAUUUCGAGAUUGUGAAAUCUCUCCAGUACGUUCCAGAUUGUAAAACCAGCUGAGUCAUCUGCAGCAAUCUCUAGUUCUCUAAGACUGCCAAAAAGGUGUUGUGGGAAAUCGGCCUGCAAAAUCAUCUUCACAUCUUUUCCACUUAGUGAUAGUUCCUUCAAGUUGGGUACGAUCUGAUCAUCAUCAAUCAUAAUAACUAAUGAGGUCAAUUGAUGAUCUACGGUCACACGCAGUGACUUUAUAGUAUUUGUUUUAUAUUAUA
Molecule: long non-coding RNA, 45547 nt
Filed under: Citrus sinensis (sweet orange)
Lineage: Eukaryota; Viridiplantae; Streptophyta; Magnoliopsida; Sapindales; Rutaceae
Description: long non-coding RNA (CSIN_LNC001160)
Source: RNAcentral